UCAUUAACUUAAUUACAAUGUUUCCAAUCAUAGAUCAACAAAAUAAAGUUGCGACUCAAACCUCUAAUCUAACAAAGUUAACCAACUAAGCGAAGGUUAACCCUGGUUUUAUAAAAGCGAACUAAGCAGAUGCAGUGUUAAUGUCAAAUCUAAUUUACACCAUGCAGUUACAUCAACUAAGCAAAGAUGUAACACCAACUGGGCAACUAAGCGUAUACCCAAUUGCAAGUGCAAAUACAAAUUUCACAUUAACCAAGGUCAGAGUAGCAAUUACAAUUAUAGUUCAUAAAUCUCAAGGAAACAUUAUAAUAUCGCUAAUGACCAACUCAACUAAUUUAAUCUAUCAUGACAAUUAAAGUAAGACGACUAAACACAUUAGACAACAUUAAAGCAAAUUAAAAUUCUAAAUACCAACACUGUUACAAUCAACUAUCUAAAACAGUUAAAUUAAUUUAAAUGCAAAACUAAAUUAUAGAAAUCAAAAGCAACUAAUCCUACAAUGUAAACUAAUUCAAAACAAAGGAAUAAUCAAACAUGCUUUUUCCCUACACAUUGACGUGACCCAAUUCACUAACCAAAUGAAUUUUAAAAUGUAAAUAGCCAAGGAGAACCUCUUGGCCGUGAGGUUGCAACACAAACUUCAAUUUGACUUUCUUCCUUCAAUAAAAAAUUCAUUAUGUUGUCUUUUUGUCCCAUGUGCUUCAUUCUCCAAGAAAAGACAUGUGCUACCUAUGCUAUCAUGAAAACCGUGCCCUCUCUCUCCAUGAAGCUAGGAGUGAACGGUUUUCAACCUCUUAAGGCCAAAUUGCCGAGCCACACUCUCCUCACUUGUUGCAAAUUUUUCUUCCCACACUCCAUAAGUCAAAAAGGUGAUGAAAUUGCUUCUACCAAUGUGCCACAUAAGCAAAGUCAAAGGGAAUAAACAACACAAGACAUUCUCUUCCUCAUUGCAAUUCACGGCCAAAUGCUAGUGAUGAGUCGAUAUUUUCUUGACUUCACUUAGUUUAUUGUGCUAUAACUAAUCAGGGAAUUGUGCUUAUAUGUUUAGUAUUUUCCCGUUUUUGCUAAUUGUGCCUAAUUUGACCGGAAAUUCUAAUUUUAAUUAAUUUGAAUAUUCUGACCUAAUUAUUUUCAUUAUUUAUUGCAGGAAAACAUUGGAGAUAUAUUUUGGAACAUUAGGAAGGAGGCAAAUAAAUUAAAGACUCUAUAAUUAGGCAUUUCAAAUUUUAAUUACAUUGUAAAUUAAUAGUUUAGAAAGUUUUCAUUAAACUUGUGCACAUUGGGCCAUUGCUGGCAAAAUUCAUGAUAGGCCCAAGGUUGUAGGACACAUGGCAUCUAAGGUUUUCAUUUUUUUGGUGGACCACACCCAUCCUUAAAAGAGGACACAUGGCCCUAGGGAUUGGGAGAGCUAGGAGCCGUCACUUUUCCUUGCAUUGGCUGCUGCAACGUUUUUUUGGGAGAGCUUACUGACUGUAACGUUUUUUUCCCUUGGCUUUAAAACCAUCUCUUGGCAUUUUGAUGAUGGAUGAAUAAAAAAAGGGGUGAAACAUUUUCUUUCUAUUUUAUUUGGAGAAUUCAAUUUAUUGCUUUGAUAAUGCGGCACACGUGACAGAUAUGGUUUUCGGGAAGCACACUCUAUUUCAUUUCUAGUUGGCCAUUUCAUUUCUACAGUAGGGGAUUUGCUAGCUUUCUUGAAUUUCAUUUCAUGAAUUGAAAAUAUAUUAGGUGGGAUAGAGGUGAUGUGACGUGUUGGUAGCUGAUUGUUGGGUAAUUUAUUCUCUUUUAUUCCCUUUUGGAAUGAAGAGUGAUUAGAUGGUAAGAAGUUGGUAGGUGCACGGUGAUUGAGUGCUGAUGGAAAGGGGUCACGGUUCCAAAAUUUUCUCUUUCAUGCAAAUGAGAUGUUUUGGCUUCAAUUGAAGAGUAGAUAGGUAGCAGGUUUUGUGUAGCAAUUUAUUGUUUUUUUAUUUAGUUGGAAAUGAAGAAGUAGAUUAGAUAUGAGUUGAUGUAGGUGUACGGUGCUAGGAUUUAUCCUGGAAGCACAUUUAAUUCCUUUGAAGAAAUUGAAUAGUCAAGCUAGAGAAGGUGUUGGAUGGUGCACUGCCACGGGAUGAUUGAUUGAAGCUGGAUCUGUCACGUGAUUUCAUGGGAGGAAGAAAGGCACGACCUUGAUGCACACGACCUUGAUGUAGAGAAAAGUUUUCACUUUUAUUUCAUUUAGAAAGUAUACUUGUCCAUCACGAAAAGAAGCUGCCACGUCUAGCACUUUUGGAGAGGAAUUUUUUAUUUUUAGUAGGAGGUUGGCAUGAAGAAGCAUGUUGAUUUAGUGAAGAAAAUAGCACACAGUUUCCAUCAAGUUUGCUUUAAUCUUUUUCUUUAUUCAUGCUGGACCGAGAAGAAGAAUUCACUUUCUUCGUUUUAUUGUUUUACUCUUGGCGUUUCUUUUUGGUGUUGAUUCCAUGAUAAAUGUGCAUUUCAUUUUUAGUUUAAGCAUUGCAUGUUAAUAGUCUUAAUUGCAUUUGGAUAUUUAUCUUUUGCAUUGUUCAGUUUACUUUUUCAGUUCACUAUGUUGUCUAUUAUGUUCAGUUUAUUGUUUCCAUUCACCAUGAUGUCUGUUCUGUUCGAUUGUGUUGAUUUAAUUGCGAUGUGAGUUUAGGCUAGGCGAGUUGGUCAUUAGCUAUAUUGUGAUGUUUCCUUGAGAUUUCUGGAUGGUAUGUGUAAAUGCCACUCGGACUUGGUUAAUAUCAAAUCUGUAUUUGCACUUGCAAUCAGGUAUACGCUUAGUUGCCCAGUUGGUGUUGAGUCUUCUCUUAGUUGAUGAAACUGCAAGGUGUAAAUUAGAUUUAAUGUUAACAUUGCGUCCACUUAGUCCGCUUUUAUGAAAACAUAAUUAGCCUGCGCUUAGUUGAUUAAUUGUGUUGGAUUAGAGGUUUGAGUUGCUUUAUUUUGUUGAUCUGUGAUAGGAGCAUUGUAAUUAAGUUAAUUACCAACCGUUUUCAGUCUGUCUUUGAAACCGUUUUUAGAUCUCUGUUUGCAUUUUUGUUUGCAUCUGUAUUUUCACAAAACCCCCCCACUUCGUAAUUGACUUAAUUCUCGAACCGCAAAAUUGGUCCUUGAGAGACGACCUAGGAGUCAUUUCUUAGCUAUACUGCAUUUCUAGUUGCACAUCAAAUUUGUGUGGGUUGCGACAGCCCAUCACUAGCAAAAGGAAAAUACCAAAAUGGAAACAUUCUUUCUAUGAAAAUGAGCGUCUCAUGUGCUUGCCCAAAUAAGCUAAAAAUUAAAUGCACCAUUCUCUCUCCCUUCCAACCUCAUUCUCGGUUUUCGCCACCAACAAAAACAUUCAAAUGUUUUCUUCACCUAUCAUCACGUGAAUGCACCUAGUAAAACAAGUUUCCACACUCAAAGAUAUAAAACAACAAUAAAGCCAACCAUCCACUUCUUCCAAACGGAUCAAACACUCACUUUUCUUCAAACUUUUCAGAAAAACAAAAUGGAAUCCCUAUCUCCCUUUGCAGCACCGUCCAGCCCUCAUCAAGAAUUACAAUGUUCCAUCUCAUAAAUUACUUACAUUAAUCAAAGUGAAACACAAGAAGAAAAAGGGUUCAAGCUUCCAACAACCAUCAAUAACCUCAAGUUUUCUUCACUUCAAUGCUCAAUGUAAAAUACCUCUUCUCCAUUCAACAAAGAAACUUAAACAUAAACAUCCAAAGUGCAGCAAAAAGGAAACAAAAAUGCAAAGUGAGUCUUCAUUCAACCAAAGGAACCACAAUGAAAAUGCAAAGAACCACCUCCAAGCUCAAGCUUUCAACAUUCAAAUGGAAAACGCAAGAAGAGGAGUGAUAGAUCUCCCUUCCAUUAAGCAAGAAUAAGUAAAGUUGCAAGCAAGAGAAGAAGAAAAACGUGAUCUUGGUCAUUCCAUAGCUCAAGAAACCGUAGCACCCAUCAUGGUCUCCAACAGAGAGUUCAUACAUGCAAAGUAAAAUGAAAAGUGGAGACAAGAAGUGUGUGUUGGCCUCCCUCACCAAAAUGCCAAGAAUUCCUCUAAAAUGGUGGGGUCCACCUCUAAAAGAAACCCUAGGGUUUUUUCCAAGUGUCCCAUAACAUUGGGCUUCUACAAUUUUUGCCACUAAAAGGGCCCAAUGCACAAAAUCCUAAUUAAAGUUCCUAAACAACUAAGUUACAAUUUAAUUAAAAUUGAAAUGACUAAUUGUAGAUUUUUUAAUGACCACGCCACCUCCUAAUGCUCCAAAAAAUAUCUCCAAAAUUUCCCUGCAACUAAAAAUACAAUUAAUCAGCUCAGAAAAUUCAAAUUAGCGAAAAUACAAAUUUCCGAUCAAAUUCAGCAGAAUUAGGAAAAACAGGAAAAUAACGGACAAUUAAACACAAUUCCCUGAUUUAUUUAAGUGCAAUAAACUAAAUACAGUCAAGAAAAUGUCAACUCAUCACGACCCAUUUUGCUGCUGAGCGGUUGCGGCGCAACCUGUCUCGGCUUUGAUAAAAGCUGAGCGGUUUUUAGGUUUUUCAUUCCAAAACCUCUUCUUUGCAUUUCGCCUGAGCGUUCUCCCUAAGCCCUAGUGAUGAGUCAAUAUUUUAUUGAUUUCACUUAGUUUAUUGUGUUAGAAUUAAUUAGGGAAUUGUGCUUAAUUGUCUGGUAUUUUCACGUUUUUCCUAAUUAUGCUUAAUUUGAUCGGAAAUUCUUAUUUUAGCUAAUUUGAAUUUUCUGAGCUGAUUAAUUGCAUUUUUAGUUGCAGGGAAAUCUUGGAGAUAUCUUUUGGAGCAUUAGGAUGGAGGCAUGGUCAUUAAAGACUCUACAAUUAGGCAUUUUAUUUUUAAUUAAAUUGUAACUUAGUUAUCUGGAAAACUUUAAUUAAGCUUAUGUGCAAUGGGCCCUUUAGUGACAAAAAUGUAAAGGCCCAAUUUUGUGGGACACAUGGCCUAACUCUAGGGUUUCGUUUUCUUAGGGUGGACCCCAUCCAUCCUUAAAAGAACGACACAUGGUCCUAGGGAUAAAAAGGAAGCAGCCGUCAUUCUCUCUAGGAGAUUGCUGUUGGAAACGUUUAGCUUCUUCUUGAAAACAUGUUUACAUUUUUUGAUUUUGGAUGAAUGAGAAAUAACACAGGACUCUUUCUUUUGUUUUGAAUGGAAGCGAUGAUUUUUAUUUUUAUUUUUGCUGAUUCACCAUUUUAUUUUCUUUAAUCAUUGUUUUACUUUUGAGAUGCACACGGUAAUUCAUUUGUUGGAGAUUAAGCACAUAGUUGAUUCAUCACAACAUUUUGACACUGCUUUUAAUUUCCUUUUGUGCAAGCUACCUUCACUUUUAUUCGUUGCUUUGAUUUUAUUUGGGGGUUUUCUUUGAAUAUUUCAUUAAUGGAGAUUUUGAACGAUUUUAUAUAUGAAAAAUAAUGGUGACGCUACUUUUAUUUUGGUACAACACUUGUGAUUGAAUUGUAUCAUUUUCCUUUGAGUGCAACACGUUACUAUGACUUUUAUUUGCUUGAGAGAAAAAAAUUGUUUUGAUAGCAUUGGAACAAAAGGGUGCAGCACGUUACAACACAUAGCAUUAAUUUCUUUCCUUUUUUUUAUGGGGAUGCAACGCUGAUUGAUGGAGAGCUUUAUUAUUAUUAAUGGGAUUUCUUUUUUUAAUUGUCAUUCAACUUUAAGCUAUGAAGCACGGAGAGGCUGAUUUGAUUUUAGCUGGUGGUGCACUAGGUCACGGCACGUGAUGACUUUUUUUGGAACAGGAGAGGCGCCGGUUUAUUCAGAGAAGUGUGGCAUUCAUUUUCAGAUUUGAAGAAUAGGAGAUGUCACGACCAGGCUGGAUUGGAGGAAGUAGCACGGUGUCACGGCCUACUGUUAAGCCCCUGGCAAGUGUACCAGAUCGUUAUCAAGUAAUAUAAUUGGUAAACCCAAUAUCGUUCUUCCCAAAGGACUCAAAGGCCUAAUCUUUCAUGCAAUGCAGUUGAAUCAAUUGGUUUUGAGAAACUAUGGAUAAAUGGUGUUGUUGGGGUUCACAAUUUCAUCUUAUCCACUCUCAUAUAUCUACUCUUCUUAUUUACUUCACUUAUUUAUCUAAUUGCCAUGCAUACUUUCUUAAUUACCCUUAACCCAAUCCCUUGGUGAAAAGAGCCUAUUACUAAUUACCGACUUGCUAUGCCUAGCCUCCCCUAGUAACCAAUAAUGCAAUGCGAUCGGAAGCAAUUACAAUUGAUCGUCCUACCCCUAUCCCUAGGCGAUAUUGGCAUAAUCAAGGAAUUUCCCACCAGUUCAUGACAUUACCGUACGUCCCCAUAUCGAUAAAGACAAACAUCUUUUACUGAAUGAGUUAAACAAUAAAAUCUUUGAGCACAGAUGAGAACCCAACAAUUGAUAAAUAAGUAUAUGACAAGCAUAUGAAAUAAAUAAGAAUUUGAAUAUAUGAGAGUUUCAAAAGAUUACAUUGUNNNNNNNNNNNNNNNNNNNNNNNNNNNNNNNNNNNNNNNNAUUACAUUGUUCCCCAACAACAAAGGGUUUAGUUCACCAUAAUCAUGGUGAAACUAGAUUAAAAUAAUGAAAGAGUGGAAGAAAUAACCCUAAACUUGGUUGAAUGGAGCCUAAGCAUCCAAGGAACCUCCUCCAAGGUGUGGAAUAGCUCUGGACGUUUCUCUCUGCCAAAAGAAUCACUAUCUAAUUCGCAUUGGGGCUAUAUAUAAGCACAAAAAGAUAACAGAUAGAUUACAUAUAGAUUUAUAGAAUCUAGCUAAAAAAACAGACAACCGCCUAGGCGGCUAAAUUCACCGCUUAGCGGUUUGCCUCUUGCCCUUUGACCGCUCAGCGGCAACCUCUAAUCGUUCUAAGCGCUCAGCGGACCAUUCUGACGCUCAACGGCUUGCUUGACCCUUCUCUUCAUCAUAUUUCUCCUUCUUUCACGGGUCUAAGUCCACCUUACUUUACUUCCAUCUUCAUUUCAUCUAAAAACCCUGCAAAACAAGCAUAAUAUCUCUAAAACCAACUUUUGACUCUCAAAAGACUCAACUAGGUGUUUUACUUGAUUUAAAGCCCAUUCUAAGCCAUAAAGGGUGUGUUUUACUAUCAAAUUUAAGCAUGAAAAUAACGGUUUUUAGACCGUUAUCACAACCCCAAACUUAGAACUUUGGUUGUCCUCAAGCAAACAAAACAAAACUUGGCUUUUCACUUUUUCAUCAAAUAAUUCACACUUUUCAAAACUCUUUUUUUUUUCUCAUGACAAGUUAUCAUACAAUUCAGAUUUCUGUGGAAUCCUACAAAGAUGUAUGCAUGCUUUCAAUCCAAAUUAGUUCACAUAAUUAAUCUUUUUCCAACAGAUGUUUUGUUCAUGAAUGAUCAAUCAACUAAGCAUAGAUGUAAACAAGGAUUUAACAAUUCUCACAAAGCAUGUGUUUCACUCAAUCACUCAAGUGUUUAGGGAGGUCACUCUACUCUCUACUAUUUACAUGUCACAUAAAACAAUAUUGUCAUUCAUCUUAAACAAUCAAAAUCUUCACAUGCAUAUGUCAUCACAAGUACUUUUUCCAAAGCUUGUAUUGUGGCUGGGCUAUCAAGAAAAUUGGUUUUUCUGGAAUACAAAAUCCUUGAGUUAAGAGAGUUUAACUCAUCAUUCAAAGUUCAAGCACACUCUCUUUUUAACCAAUCUCACUCAUUCCCAACUUUUCCCUUUUUAAUUUUAAAUUGAGUUCUUUUUACAUGCAUAACUUCUUUUCUUCUUUUCUUUCCUUUUCACAUGUAUUUUUCUUUUUCAUCUUUUAAAGUCAAUGCUUUUCUUUCUGUUUUGCCUUGCACUUUCCCCAUUCAACCCCAAGCUUGAACCUUUUCAUUACAUAUAAUUAUUCUCAACCCUAACUCAAGGUAAAUCAAUUCAAAAAGGGUAUAUCAUUCAAAAUUCUUUGGGUGAAAAUUUGGCUAAGUAAGGGAUUUCUAAUCAUGGCCUUGAUCAUAUGACAUACACAUGCAAUUCAAUCAAUUAUCAAGAUUAAGUCAAUAUCAUUCAUGAUUCUCUGUAAACAGUGCACACAACAAUAAAACUCUGAAGCUUAAUACCUCACAUAAUCAUGCUUUCUCACUUCUCACUUGAAUCCUGCUUAGCAUCAAAAUCACAAUCAUGAAUCACUUACUCAUCUGUUCACAUUACUGGUCAACCAUAAACCUGGAUAUCAACAUUCAUACAUUCUCAAUCAUCAUCCACAAUCAAUCAUCAAUAGCAAACAACUCAUCAUGCAACAAUAUUGAACCAUUAUCAGAAUAAGUGUACAAGCCAAGCAUAGACUCAAACAUAAAUUCAACCUAUACUACUAAUUCAAAGUGAUAAAACCUGGGUUGCCUCCCAAAAGCGCUUGUUUAACAUCACGAGCCUAACCCAAACCUCAUGGAUCCACCAACAUCAAUACGGUAGAAAACUGUUCCACUUCUCCUGCUAAAUAAUGUUUGAACCUCUGACCAUUUACAACCCAAUUUCUCUCCUUAUCUGUAGUCUCUAAUUCCACAGCUCCAUUCGGAUAUACCUGCUUUAUCACAAAGGGUCUCGACCACUUUGAUUUCAACUUCCCAGGAAAUAACUUUAACCGUGAAUUAAAUAGUAGCACCUGCUGUCCUGGAGUAUAGACUCUCUUUAUUAACUUUUUAUCAUGAUAAAAUUUCACCUUUUCCUUAUAACUCCUUGAUGAAUCAUAUGCAUGUAACCACAUCUCUUCAAGUUCUAACAACUGAUUUCUUCGUUUGCUUUGAAUUUCAUGAGGAUCAAACUUUAAAAAUUUCAAAGCCCACAAAGCCUUAUGUUCUAUCUCUACUGGCAAGUGACAUGCUUUCCCAUAUACCAUCUAAAAAGGUGAUAACCCCAAUGAAGUCUUCAUAGUCGUCCUGUAUGCCCAAAGAGCAUCAUCUAAUUUCCGUGACCAAUCCUUUCAUGAAAAAGAAACUUUCUUUUCUAAUAUCCUCUUAAUCUCCCUAUUAGAAACUUCAGCUUGACCAUUCGUUUGUUGAUGAUAAGGUGCAGCCACUUUAUGCUUUACCCCAUAAUGUCUAAGCACCUUAGCAAGCUGAGCAUCACAAAAAUGAGAUCCCCCAUCACUAAUAAGUACCCUAGGGGUUCCAAAGCGUGAGAAAAUUUGUCUUUUCAAGAAUUUAAUCACCGUAUUGGCAUCAUUCUCUGGACAUGCUAAAGCAUCCACCCAUUUACUCACAUAAUCAACAGCCACCAAAAUAUAUUCAUUAUUGAAUGAUGGUGGAAAAGGUCCAACGAAAUCAAUACCCCAACAAUCAAAAACUUCAACUUCCAAAAUACCUUGUAAUGGCAUCUCAUGCCUUCUUGAAAUAGCUCCUGUCCUUUGACACUUAUCACAAUUUCUAGCAUGAUUACGCGCAUCUUUGAAUAAAGUAGGCCAAUAAAAUCCUGACUGAAGAAUUUUUGCAGUUGUUCGCUCCCCAUUAUAAUGCCCUCCAUAAGGAGAAUUAUGACAAUGCCAAAGGAUUCGUUCUGCCUCUUCCUUAGUUACACAUCUCCUUAAAAGAUUAUCUGCUCCAAUCUUGAAUAAGUAUGGAUCAUCCCAUAUAAAUUGUUUAGCAUCAAAAUAAAACUUCUUUUUCUAUUGCCAAUUUAAUUCUUUAGGGAUAACACCUGCAACUUUAAAAUUAGCCAUAUCAGCAAACCAUGGCCUUUGUUGUAUGUACAAAAGAGUUUCAUCUGAAAAAGACUCCCAGACUUCCUUCUCCUUGCUUGUUACUUCCGUGUUAACCAGUCGAGAUAAGUGAUUAGCCAUCAAAUUUUCACUUCCCUUUUUAUCCCGAAUUUCUAUAUCAAAUUCUUGUAAAAAAAGUACCCACCUGAUUAACCAUGGCUUUGAAUAUGGAUUUGUUAACAAGUACUUAAUAGCUGCAUGAUACGUAUAAACUAUAACUUUAGAUCCAAUAAGAUAAGAUCUAAAUUUCUCCAGUGCAUAGACUAUGGCCAAAAGUUCUUUCUCUGUGGUAGCAUAAUUUAACUGGGCUUCAUUUAAGACUUUACUAGCAUAGUAAAUAGCAUGAAAUACUUUUUCUCUUCUUUGGCCCAUUACUGCACCUAUGGCAUAGUCACUAGCAUGACACAUAAGUUCAAACUCUUUAGUCCAAUCUGGAGCUACAAUCACUGAAGCAGAAAUUAAGCUUUUCUUCAGAACAUCCAAAGCUUUCGAACAUUUAGAACUCAUCUCAAAUGGUGCAUCCUUCACUAACAAAUUACUCAAUGGCUUAGCAAUCUUUGAGAAGUUUUUAAUAAAUCUUCGAUAGAAACCGGCAUGACCUAAGAAACUCUGGAUUCCUUUCACAUUUGAUGGUGGUGGAAGCUUUUCAAUGACCUACACUUUAGCUUUGUCAACUUCAAUCCCUUUAGCCGAAAUUUUGUGUCCCAACACAAUUUCUUCAGUAACCAUAAAAUGGCAUUUUUCCCAAUUUAAAACAAGAUUUGUUUGGACACACCUUUUAAGAACUGCAUCUAAGUUGUUUAAGCAUUUUUGAAAAGAAUCACCAAAUACCGAAAAAUCAUCCAUGAAGACUUCUAUGCUUUUCUCCAUAAAUUCCGCAAAGAUGGCUUGCAUACACCUUUGAAAUGUGGCAGCUGCAUUACAUAAUCCAAAUGUGAAAGUUGUUUUAUCUUGAUCUUUAGGAUCCACCAGAAUUUGAUAUAUCCAGAAUAACCAUCAAGAAAGCAAUAAUAUGCUUGCCCAGCUAAUCUCUCUAGCAUCUGGUCCAUAAAGGGUAAAGGAAAAUGAUCUUUCCUGGUGGCUGUAUUUAGCUUUCUGUAGUCAAUACACAUCCGCCACCCAGUAACUGUUCGCGUAGGAAUUAAUUCAUUUUUCUCAUUAUAAAUUACUGUCAUUCCUCCUUUCUUUGGCACCACUUGAACUGGACUUACCCAUUUACUAUCAGAUAUUGGGUAUAUAAUUCCUGCUUCUAGUAACUUCAACACUUCCUUUCUCACAACUUCUUUCAUAACUGGAUUUAAUCUUCUUUGUGGUUGAGCCACUGGUCGAUAAUCACUCUCCAUAAGAAUCCUGUGCAUACAAUAUGUAGGGCAUAUUCCUUUAAGAUCUGUAAUUGACCAGCCUAUAGCACCUUUAUUUACCUUUAAGACUUCCACCAACUUUUCUUCUUCUUUUGGAGAUAAUAGCUUACUAAUAAUAAAUGGCUUCUGUCCACCAGCUUCCAAAAACACAUACUUCAAAUGUGGUGGUAGUUCCUUCAAUUCGAGCUUACUUUCCUUUACUUUCUUCUUAGAAUCAAUUCGUUCAAAACUGACCUCUUCUAUUGGGAUUUCUUUCAUUUCUUCCAAUUCACGAACACACUCUUCAAUCAUUUUCUCUUCUUCUUCAUGCAAAUCUUCAUUCUCAUUAACAAGCGACCUCUUCAGUGCAGAUGCAUUUCGCAUUCUCUUAUCUUGCAUCAUACAAAGUUCUUCCACAAUGUCUCUUUGGAAACAUGACUUUUUGUCUCUAGGAUAUGACAUUGCUUGGAAGACAUCAAAAUUCACCUCUUCAUCCUGUACUCUGACCUUUAGCUUACCAUUCUCCACAUCAAUUAAAAUUCUAGUUGUCUUCAUGAAAGGUCUUCCAAGAAUCAAAGGUGCAUCUCCAUUUUCCUCCAUCUCCAUGGCAACAAAACCCACCGGGAAUAAAAAUUUGUAUACUUUAACUAUCACAUCUUCAGUCACUCCAAAUGGGUAUUUAAGAGAUCUAUCUGCUAAUUGAAGAGUCAUCCUUGUUGGCUUCAAUUCUAAUCCUCUGAUCUUUCUAAACAUAGAAAGAGGCAUUAGAUUAAUACUUGCUCCCAAGUCAAUCAGAGCUUUUCCCACUUCUAACUCUCCAAUAGUACAUGGAAUAGUGAAACUUCCUGGAUCUUGCAGUUUAGGAGGUAAUUUCCUUUGUAUUAUUGCACUACAGUUUCCUUGUACUUCAAUGGUUUCCUUCUCAACAUACUUCCUCUUUCUCAUAAGCAAUUCUUUUAAGAACUUAGCAUAUGAGGGCAUUUGCUGAAGUGCCACAGAAAAUGGUAUGGUUAUUUCCAACUUCCUGAAAAUCUCCACGAAACGCUCAAACUGCUUUUCCUUCUCCUUUCUUGAGUAUGUUUUUGGAUAAGGCAAAGGUUUAACAUACUCUUAUUCCUUCAAUUUGUCAACUUCUUCUCUCCUUUCAUCACCAUCACUAUUCUUUUCAACACUUUCUUUUUCUACCUUUCUUUUUUCGACUCUUCUUUCCUCCAAUACUCUCCCGCUUCUAGUAAUCAUUUCACACGCUUCCUUUUCCUCCCUUUUAUCAACAUAGAACACACUACUCUUCACAACUUUCUGAAACAUCUCUUUUGAAUCAAUGCUUCUUUGUAUUGGCAUGAAUUGAGGCUGUUCUGAAUUUCUUGGAACUUUUAUCAUCUCCUGUGGUACGCCAGAUAAUUUCUGAAUAAUUAUCUCCAUUUGCUGAGUAAUUAUCCUGUUUUGUUCCAUCAUGGAACUAUAAUCUUGUGAUUCUGAAAUUUUCUGUACAACAUCAGUGUCCUCACUCUGUAUUUCUUCAUUAUCUGUCAUACUUUCAAUUAACUCAUAAGCCUCAUCCUCGGUUUUCAUUCUGAUAUCCCCUCCGGCUGCAGCAUUUAAUAUCAUCUUUGACUGCAUCUGUAGUCCUCCAAUAAAUGCAAGAACUAUGGUUGUCUUAUCAAAUCCAUGGACCAGGGUCUUUCUUAACAAGCCUUUAAACCUAUCCCAUGCUUGCCCGAAAGUCUCUAUCAUGCCCUGCUUGAAUGAUGAAAUUUCCAGUCUUCCUUGUGUAAUUUUUGAUUGUGUAAUUAACAACCCNNNNNNNNNNNNNNNNNNNNNNNNNNNNNNNNNNNNNNNNNNNNNNNNNNNNNNNNNNNNNNNNNNNNNNNNNNNNNNNNNNNNNNNNNNNNNNNNNNNNNNNNNNNNNNNNNNNNNNNNNNNNNNNNNNNNNNNNNNNNNNNNNNNNNNCCCCCCCCACUUUGUGACUGACCUAAUUCUCGAACCACAUUUGGUCCUUGAGAGACGACCUAGGAGUCACUCCCUAGUCUAUAUUGCAUUCUUUUAAUUGCACACUAAAUUUUGCAUGGUGUGCGACACCCAUCAAAAUUUUGGCGCCACUAUCGGGGACCAACGGUUCGGUUUUAGAUCUUUUGUUGUGUUUGUGUGUGUUGUGUUUUGUCUUGUAUUGUGAGUGUGAUGUUCUGUUUUGUUUGUGAUGUCAUGUGUGUUGCAUUUAGGUAACUUUACUUGCAUAUUUUCAUUGCAUUCUUCUUUUCUCCCUUCUUUCUACGUGUAUGCCUAUUUAGAUUUUGUGGAUACUGCUUAUUCUGCCUGUGCCUAUGACUAUGAUGCUACUAUUGCAUGUUACUCUGAUUAUGAUCCUCCUGUUGAUUUCUAUGUUGAGAAAAGUAAGGUUCCCCCUCCACCUCAUGAGAGUGCUCCUAGGGAGCCAUUUCCACUUGAUGAGGGGGAUAUUCGUUGUGUUUUCAACACUGGACUGAUACAUUUGUUGCCUAGGUUUCAUGGUUUUGCAAGUGAAUGCCCACGUAGACAUUUGGAGGAACAUGAUAAAAUUAGGGCUUUUUGAUUUCUAUGCAUGAAUUGAUGAAAUAGAAAUUGUUUGAAUUGAUUGAAUUGCAUGAUUGUGGUCUGGAUUGAUGAAAUUAAAAAUAGAGUGGAGAUUAGAACAGCUUAGGAAAGGUUUUUGAAAAACCCUAGCCACCAUCGUUGAGCGGUCUGUUUUGACGCUAAGUGGUGGCACGGCUGGAGGCAAACCGCUGAGUGGUCUCCUUGGACGCUUAAGCGGUCUGCAGCGAAUUUUGCCUGAAUGCUUGAUUUUUAGGCUUGGAUGCUGGGGGCCCUGUUUUCCCUCAAUACUGGAUUAUGUGUGAUCUGAGUCAUAAAUUGAUGAUGCACUAACCUCUAAUGAUGUUUCUGUGAAUGUUAUUUGACUUAUUUGAUGCAGGAAUGUCUACCUAAAAAAGAAUGAGAACCAUGGGCAACAAGAGAAAGGAGCCAGAGAAACCAAGGAGAUUUUAUUCUCCCAGGUUUCUCUCCAAAAAGCAUGAGGAACAUUAUGCUACUGUCUAGGAGAGGUGUUUACUGAUGGAGAGAAAGGUUAUGUACAUCCCUUGAUAGCGUCGUCCAGUGGCAUGAUUCAACAUAGAACGUCAAGAAUGGCACAAUGGAAGUCAAGAGUGAAUCUGGCAGCGGAAGUAACUGAUAUUNNNNNNNNNNNNNNNNNNNNNNNNNNNNNNNNNNNNNNNNNNNNNNNNNNNNNNNNNNNNNNNNNNNNNNNNNNNNNNNNNNNNNNNNNNNNNNNNNNNNNNNNNNNNNNNNNNNNNNNNNNNNNNNNNNNNNNNNNNNNNNNNNNNNNNNNNNNNNNNNNNNNNNNNNNNNNNNNNNNNNNNNNNNNNNNNNNNNNNNNNNNNNNNNNNNNNNNNNNNNNNNNNNNNNNNNNNNNNNNNNNNNNNNNNNNNNNNNNNNNNNNNNNNNNNNNNNNNNNNNNNNNNNNNNNNNNNNNNNNNNNNNNNNNNNNNNNNNNNNNNNNNNNNNNNNNNNNNNNNNNNNNNNNNNNNNNNNNNNNNNNNNNNNNNNNNNNNNNNNNNNNNNNNNNNNNNNNNNNNNNNNNNNNNNNNNNNNNNNNNNNNNNNNNNNNNNNNNNNNNNNNNNNNNNNNNNNNNNNNNNNNNNNNNNNNNNNNNNNNNNNNNNNNNNNNNNNNNNNNNNNNNNNNNNNNNNNNNNNNNNNNNNNNNNNNNNNNNNNNNNNNNNNNNNNNNNNNNNNNNNNNNNNNNNNNNNNNNNNNNNNNNNNNNNNNNNNNNNNNNNNNNNNNNNNNNNNNNNNNNNNNNNNNNNNNNNNNNNNNNNNNNNNNNNNNNNNNNNNNNNNNNNNNNNNNNNNNNNNNNNNNNNNNNNNNNNNNNNNNNNNNNNNNNNNNNNNNNNNNNNNNNNNNNNNNNNNNNNNNNNNNNNNNNNNNNNNNNNNNNNNNNNNNNNNNNNNNNNNNNNNNNNNNNNNNNNNNNNNNNNNNNNNNNNNNNNNNNNNNNNNNNNNNNNNNNNNNNNNNNNNNNNNNNNNNNNNNNUUGAUGGCAAUUUCUUGGAAAGAAAAGGUAGAAGUAAAGCAUUCAAUAACAAUUGGAAAGUGAAAAGAUAGAAAACCUCCCCUUAAAAAUUUGUGUUCUAUUGUGAGAAUAGGGGAUGUUGCCAUUUCUUUCUUCUUUUCUUCCAUGUCUUUCUUUUCAAGUUCUUCCUUCUCUUCCUCUUCCUUUCUUUCUUCCUCUCUUAUUUUCUCUUCUUCUCUUCUCUCUUGUACUCUUCUCUCUCUUUCUUCUUCUUCUCUUCUCACUAGUUCUCUUCUCACUCUUUCUUCCUCUUCCUUUCUCUCUUGUUCUCUCUUUCUCUCUCUUUCUCUUUGUCUUUCUUCUUCUUCUUUUCUCUCUUUUCUUCUCUCUUGUCUCUCUAUUCUCUCUUGUAAUUGCCUAUGUUCUCUCUCAAAUCUUCUUCUACUUCCCUCAUUUAAGAAUUUCAUGAGUUUUUCUCUAAACUCUUUUUCCCUACGAUUGAAUCCACUUAAUUUUUCAAUGAAUGACUUGCCUUCUCUAAUAAACUCUCUCAUAUGUUCUAAGGUACUUUUAAUAUUUGAAGGCACAAACUUUCUUCUCAUGCAUGAUCUUAAUUCAUACCAAUUUUCAAUGGUGGAUUUUCUACCUUUAUGAACCCAAUAUUGCCUUUCAUCCCACCACUCUAGUGCAUGUUUUUCUAAUCUAGAGAGAUAUAAACUAAGAACUCGAGAUUCACAUUCUCUAGAAAGAACAAUUGUACUAUAAGACUCAAGUUCACUUUGCUUAAGAAGAUGAGGAUGCAUUUGAUUAAUUUCCUUUUCCCAAACUAGGUAUGUUAAAACAUUUGUAUCUUUACCAAAGAAGGGAAUUUUUCUAGCUUUAGUACACAAAUCAUCCUUAAUGUAUGAACUAGACAUCCUAGAUGAAUAAAAAGACAUUUCUAAAAGUUGUCUUGUGUUGCAACUACUUAGGUUUCACCCAAAAACAAUUUCCAGGUAAGGGAGGUGAAUCACUAGGAUUACUUAAGUACCAAGCCUUGUCCUUGCCAAAAUUGUUCUAAGCUACUCACUUAGUUGUUGUUACUUGCAAGAUUACUUUUAAAAAUCACAAAAGAAGACUCAAAAGCAAAUAAAAAACAACAAAUUGGGACUCUAAUGCCGGACUCUAAAGUUUCCUAACGUGAAACACCAAAUUAAAACACACAAGAAAAGUUUUGCCAAGAGUUGAAAGAGCACCAAGGACUCUUCCAAGACAACUUGGACUUUGAAUGGCCUUUUACAAAGAAGAAACUAACAAAGCAAACCUAUUUCAAAUUCAAAACAAAAUAAACGAAACAAACUCAAGUGUUGCUGCCACGGUUUUGGAGUCUCCUAGCUUGUGGUUUUANCUCUCCAAUUCUCGGUUUUAUUGCUGCAGUUUAAAAGAGUCUCCUAUGCUUUUCAAAAAUUUGGUCUCAGCUUGGUACAAUCAUGGACUGUUUUCCAGCAAAAUAUGAAGUAUGCAGUUGUGUGCAGUUGCUGUGACAGUAAUUUGGAUUGGUGCAGCGUAAGUGCUUUGGUCUUGUACACUCCAGGCAGCUAAAGGAAUCGUUGUUACUCUCCAAUUAUAAACUUUAGCUCUCAACUGUUCCAAGGGCAAAUUCUUCAAUUCCUCUCACGGCUUUGCUUUGCUUCCACAUUCCAGAAUAAGCAUUGCUGCUAUGAUUUCUGACGUUGAAGUUGUCCAGUAUUGACACUAAUUAACAGCCAAGUGUGCUUCCAAUUCUCCAGAAUGUUGGAGCUUUUUACCAACCAGAUUUAAAUCCUGUUCAAUUAGAUUAUACCAAGAGCAAAAACUUUUCCAAACUGAGCAACAUAUUAAUGAGUCAAUUGGACAAAUUUUGGUGACUUGAACAACUAGAAAGUAAUAACCAAACUGAUCAAAACAGUAUUNUAUCAAAACAGCAUUUUGGCUAGCUGUACAAGUCCAAAAUAAUGCUCAACUGAACAAAAUAAGACCAGCUUAUUCAGAUUUGCUUCAAAAAUCAAUUUGACUAUAUGAGUUGCAAUCAAAUCUGAAUAUGUGCACUUUCAAAAAUUGCCUUUUCAAAAGAUUGAUAAUAACAGUUCCAACCCAAAAGAUUAAUGGUUAAAAUCAGAACUCAAUGCAGAAUUCAAUCAUCAUCAUGCUCGGCUGUAACUGUUUUCAAUAAAUUUCAGCAUGCAAUGCAUUGACUAUGAUGGAUGCACAAUAGUUAAAACAGUGGGAGCACCACUGAUUCAACAAUCACAACUUGUUACUCCUUGGUCAAGCCAAAUGUUAACUCUGCACAAAGAACAUUCAGUAACAAUUGUUAGCCAACAACUGAAUUCUCUCUCAAUGAAAGUGGAUCAGAUCAAAUCUCACAACUACAGGUCUGGUGUUUGUGCACUAUGUUGUUUCAGCACUCAGAAAUGGUAAAAAAGAAAGUAGUGUGCAACUUUGGUCUCUCUCAAAGGAAGCUGCAUGAAAAUUGGAUGCAGCACAAGUCUCACAGUUGCUAUCAAUUGAAGCUGUUAUGUCUGGAUGCAGAAUCAGGUCUGCUUCACACAAUUACAGUAACUGCUGCAGCAAAUAUGCAGUCACUGCUUUGAAUUUUCUGCAGCACCGAAAUUGGCUUUCUGCACUUGAUUCCGCCCACACUCCACUUCCUAAGAGGCUACCAUUGAUGUGUAGAUAUCUCUGGCUAUGCUGCACCAACAGAAAUUACCUCACACAGAUCACCAAGUCACACUUUAAUUCCAAUACAGAGUUAUAGUUGCUACCAGAAUUACAUUCAAAUGGACAGCACCACAAAACCUUUAAUCAAACAGGUUGUGUGCAGGAUGGCCAAUAACUUGAAAAUCAAGCAAUUAAGCAGCUAACAAUCAUGGAAGCACUUCAAAAAGAUCCUAAAAAUAGCUCUAGAAUGUAUUAAGAAAGCAAUAAACAAUUGGAAGUUGCAGAAUCGAACAAUUCAACUCAGAUUUAAAAAUUGACCAAUGUGUUUGAUGAAAUGCCUGAAUGAACUGUUGAAACUGUGCUGCACCAGAGUAAAUUUUCGUGACUGAUUGGCACUGGUUCGAAAGCUUUUUUACUGUGCAAAUGGUAUGUUUUGCUUAAUUUUAAUCAUGCACUGUUUUUAACUCAAUUGAACCAAGCUUUUGCUACCAAUAUGAACUUAAACUCAAUGCAACAGUUCAUCACAUAAGCUCAAACANAUUCUGCAACUAUACCAGAAACAAUAUCCAAAACUUGGUGGAUUGAAUGGUCAAAAUGCACAGCAGUGAUUAGAAGUCCAAUUUCAAGGUUUGAGCAACUUUACUUUAACUAAUAUGACUUAUACAAGCUGCCAAAAGAGUUGGAAUUAACGUAAAUCAAAAUCUGGUUGGUCAAGUUGCCUUUUUCACACAAGAUUUGUCUAAUUUCAGCAACCAAAUCUCACANAAUCAGUAACUAUGUUUGGAUCCUCAAUUUGGUUCUUUAAACAAGUUUGUUUGACCAAAAAUNACAUGUAUAGAUUGGCAGCAGAGGCUGAAACUGUGUAAAUCAAAUUUUCACCAUACAAGUUGCUCUCAACAUCAAAAUUUCAACUAUUCACCAUCCAAAUUUCAGAUUAUGAUUCAAAAUGAACUAAUUACAGAUUUAUCAGUUCUGGACAGCUCACUCAAAUUGAAGAAAGACUCUAGAAAGUAUUUAAGAUGUUCAGCAAAGAUGAAUGUGCCAAACCAGAUUCAGAAACAACAAAAAAAAACAGAGAAAAUUUCAAACUAGGAUGAUGCAGUUCGGACUACUGCAGAACUGGAUUGUUGGAAGUGUAAAUGGAUGCUACACUUCAAUUGACUUAAGCCAAAUCACUGUUCAUAUGGUAAACAACUUCACCAUCACAGCACAAUCACUUCACGGCAAUACAGAACCAGAUUUCAAAUGCAAACAGAUUCAUAGAACAAUGCAGAAAUCAUAUCAAACUGCUUAAUACAACCAGAUUCCAGUUGUUCCAGUGAUCAAUGCACUGUAAAGCAACGUUGAAUCUUAGAAGCUCUUUAGAUCAUUGCUUCUAUAUGUGAAUCUUUUUUUAACAAAACUCAGUCAGAACAGUAAGGUUGUGCCAAACCAAUUUUAUACUCAGAAAUUUACAAAGAACAAUUUAACACGUGACUAAACAUGACAUAUUAAGAUCUGAAAAAUAAAGACUCAAUAGCACAGAUUUGUCCGAUUAAAAUGAUGAGAAUAAAGCAAAGAAAAGCUGGAUCAAGAAGAUGACUCAAAGGAAUCUAUAGAAUGUAAACAAAAAUUCAAUGGAACAGUAACAAUGCAGUACAUGACAGAAGUGUUGAUGACAGUACGGAGAUGAAACUUAUCUGGACAAGCUCACUUCGCUGGAAACGUUGCAGCACCCAAGCUCUGAUACCACAUGAUAGCGUCGUCCAGUGGCAUGAUUCAACAUAGAACGUCAAGAAUGGCACAAUGGAAGUCAAGAGUGAAUCUGGCAGCGGAAGUAACUGAUANNNNNNNNNNNNNNNNNNNNNNNNNNNNNNNNNNNNNNNNNNNNNNNNNNNNNNNNNNNNNNNNNNNNNNNNNNNNNNNNNNNNNNNNNNNNNNNNNNNNNNNNNNNNNNNNNNNNNNNNNNNNNNNNNNNNNNNNNNNNNNNNNNNNNNNNNNNNNNNNNNNNNNNNNNNNNNNNNNNNNNNNNNNNNNNNNNNNNNNNNNNNNNNNNNNNNNNNNNNNNNNNNNNNNNNNNNNNNNNNNNNNNNNNNNNNNNNNNNNNNNNNNNNNNNNNNNNNNNNNNNNNNNNNNNNNNNNNNNNNNNNNNNNNNNNNNNNNNNNNNNNNNNNNNNNNNNNNNNNNNNNNNNNNNNNNNNNNNNNNNNNNNNNNNNNNNNNNNNNNNNNNNNNNNNNNNNNNNNNNNNNNNNNNNNNNNNNNNNNNNNNNNNNNNNNNNNNNNNNNNNNNNNNNNNNNNNNNNNNNNNNNNNNNNNNNNNNNNNNNNNNNNNNNNNNNNNNNNNNNNNNNNNNNNNNNNNNNNNNNNNNNNNNNNNNNNNNNNNNNNNNNNNNNNNNNNNNNNNNNNNNNNNNNNNNNNNNNNNNNNNNNNNNNNNNNNNNNNNNNNNNNNNNNNNNNNNNNNNNNNNNNNNNNNNNNNNNNNNNNNNNNNNNNNNNNNNNNNNNNNNNNNNNNNNNNNNNNNNNNNNNNNNNNNNNNNNNNNNNNNNNNNNNNNNNNNNNNNNNNNNNNNNNNNNNNNNNNNNNNNNNNNNNNNNNNNNNNNNNNNNNNNNNNNNNNNNNNNNNNNNNNNNNNNNNNNNNNNNNNNNNNNNNNNNNNNNNNNNNNNNNNNNNNNNNNNNNNNNNNNNNNNNNNNNNNNNNNNNNNNNNNNNNNNNNNNNNNNNNNNNNNNNNNNNNNNNNNNNNNNNNNNNNNNNNNNNNNNNNNNNNNNNNNNNNNNNNNNNNNNNNNNNNNNNNNNNNNNNNNNNNNNNNNNNNNNNNNNNNNNNNNNNNNNNNNNNNNNNNNNNNNNNNNNNNNNNNNNNNNNNNNNNNNNNNNNNNNNNNNNNNNNNNNNNNNNNNUAAGCACACCCCUCUCCUUUUGUAGAAAUGACCAUUUUACCCCUUCUCCAUGUGUUGAUUUAGUCCACAAGUGAUGGGUCCAUGAUGGGCUUGGACCCAUGUCAUCAUCCCUGAUCUAGCUCCAAAGUUUGGACUAAAGAUUGAGAGGCGAGGCUAGGAAAGAUUGACUACUUACCCUGCACCAGCUAGUAUUGAGCUGGUAAAGGAAUUCAAUGCCAACGCCUUGACCAGAGGAGGAGUAUCAGCAGGGAGGUACACUAGCUAUGUGAGGGGGCAAUUGAUGAGAUAUGACCCCGACACCAUCAACACUUUCUUAGGGACUGAGUGGCCAAGAGAGUAGUGUAGGUAUGUUGCUAUACUAGGGGAGGCCAGGGAUUAUGAAGACAUUGAGAGAGUGAUGUGCAUCCUUGGGAGACACUUUCAGAGAAACCCUAAUGGAGCACCAGUCAACAUCCUUAGGGCAGAUUUGGCUCCCUUAGCCAAGUACUGGAUGGCAUUCACUCAUGCCAACAUACAACCAUGCUCUCAUGUCUCCGACAUCACGCUACAUUACAUUCUAGUCAUCUACUGUAUGUUGAGGCAGAUGGAUGUUAAUGUUGGCAAGAUCAUUGCUAGUGAGAUUCAGAGUUGCGCUACCCUUGUGAGUAGCAGGACACCACUGGGACAUUCGUCCCUGAUUACAUACUUGUGCCAGCAGGCGGGAGUGGACAUUGCAGUUCCACCCUAUGAGAGGCCGAGGAGGGCUAUUGAUGCCUCCUAUUAUCGUCAAUAUUGUGGAGGUGACGAGCCAGCAGGAGUAGUUCCUAGGAGACGUCCUAGGAGGGCAGCAGAGCAGUAGGAGGAUGAGCCUGCAGAUGCACCGGCACAGCAUGCUGAGCCUUUCCAUAUGAGGGACAUGUAUGUGUCCAUGAUGGAGGCGAGGAUGGAGUCUCUCCGCAGAGGGCAGGUGGCCACUGCUGAGAUGAUUAUAGGUCUUUAUGAUCAGCCACCAGUGCACAGGUGGACUAUGGAUGAGUUCCAUAGUGCUAUGGCUUGGCCUCAGGAGCAGGCGCAGGGCAGUGGGUCUGGAAUAGCUGGAGCACCAGACAGAGAUCAUGAUGAUGAUGAUGAUGAUGAUUUUGAGGAUGCACAGGCUUGGGAUGAGUAUGAAUCGGGUGAGGACAUGGAUUAAUGAGGCAUCUACUGGUGGAUGUCAACACUUAGACAGGGGGUUUUUCUUUUUCUUUUGUACUUUGGAUUUGUAGUAUAGGAGAAUUUUAUCUUUGUGUCUAUGUUUGGCUUGUACACUGAUUCUGAUGGUGGUUUGAUUUUAUUGCAUGAUGAGUUAUUCAAUUAUGAUGAUUGAAUGUGGUUGAUGAUUGGUUCACAAAUUGUGUGAACAGAUGUGUAGUGAUUUAUGAUUAUGAUUAUGAUGCUAAGCAAGAUUCAUGAAUGAUGUGUGAGAAAGCAUGUUAUGUGAGGUAUUGAGCUCCAGAGUCUUUAUUGAUGUAUGUAUUGUUCAUAGGGAAUCAUGAAUUAUAUUGCCUUAGUCUUGAUAAUUGAUUGAAUUGCAUGCUUAUGUUGUAUGAUUAAGGCCAUGUUUGGAAGCCCUUACUUAGCCAAAUUUUCACCCAAAAUGUUUAAAAUAUUAUACCCUUUUUGAACCUUGGCCUUAAACAGAAUGAAAACCCUUGAUUUGAAUUGAUUUACCUUGAGUUGGGUUGAGAAUAAUUGCAUGUGUUGGAAAGGUUCAAGUUUGGGGUUGUAUGGGGAAAGUUGAAAGGCAAAAGAAAGGCAUUGAGCUCAACGGUUGUAAAAGAAAAAAGCAUGAGAGAAAGAAAGAAAAAAAAAAGGGAAAAAGUUGGGAAUGAGUGAGAUUGGUUCAAAAGAGAGUGGUGCUUGAACUUUGAAUGAUAAUUUAAACUCUCUCAACUCAAGGAUUUUGUGUUCUAGAAAAACCAUUUUUUCUUGAUAGCCCAGCCACAUUACAAGCCUUGGAAAAGUCCUUGUGAUGACAUUUGCAUGUAAGGAUUUUGAUUGUUUUAAAUGAAUAGCAAUAUUGUUUUAUGUGACAUGUGAACAAUAGAGAGUGGAGUGCUCCCUUAAACACUUGAGUGAUUGUGUGAAACACUUGCUUGGUGAGAAUUGUUGAAAUCCAUGUUUACAUCUAUGCUUAGUGGAUUGAUCAUUCAUAAAUAAAACAUCUGUUUGGAAAGAGAUGAUUAUGUGAACUAACUUGGAUUGAAAGCAUGCAUGCAUCUUGAUAAGAUUCCACUGAAAAUCUAAAUUGAAUAAUAACUUGUUGUGAGAAAAAGGAAUUUUGAAAGUGUUGAACUAUUUGAUGAAGAAGUGGAAAGCCAAGUUUUUUCUUUUUUUUGUCUUGUUUGCUUGAGGACAAGCAAAGUUCUAAGUUUGGGGUUGUGAUAACGGUCUAAAAACCGUUUUCAUGCUUAAAGGGGAAACCGUUGAGCGGUUAACUUAGACGCCUGGGCGGUUAUCUAUUUUUAUUAUUGCGGAUUCUGGGAUCUUUCUGUUAUCUGCCAAAACUCAUUCUUUUGGCAGAGAGAAACAUCCAUAACAGCUCUACAUUCCUUGGAGGCCGUUCUUUGGAUGCUUAGGCUCCAAACUACUUAAUCUAGGGUUUAUUCUUUCAUUCUUCCAUUGUAUUUCAUCUAGUUUCACCAUGAUUAUGGUGAACUAAACCCUUUGUUGUUGGGGAACAAUGUAAUCUUUUGAAACUCUCAUAUAUCCAAAUUCUUAUUUAUUUUAUAUGCUUGCAUAUGCUUGAUUUAUCAAUUGUUGGGUUCCUUACCUGUAUUUAAUGCUUUUAUCGUUUAACUCAUUCGAUAACUGUUGUUUGUCUUUAUUGAUACGGGAACGUACAAUAAUGUCAUGAACUGGGGGGAAUUCCUUGAUUAUGCAAUACCACCUAGGGAUAGGGGUAGGACGAUCAAUUGUAUUUUGCUUCCGUUUAUCAUGCAUUAUUAAUUACUAGGGGAGCCUAGGGAUAGAAGGUCGGUAAUUAAUAAUAGGCUCUUUUCGCCAAGGGAUUGGAUUAAGGGUAGAUCAAGAAAGUUUGCAUGACAAUAUGAUAAAUAAGCUAAUUAAAUAAGAAGAGUAGAUAUAUAAGGGUGAAUAAGAUGAAAUUGUAAACCCUAACAACACCAUUCAUUCAUAGUUUUUCCUUGCCAAUUGAAUCACUGUAUUUGCAUGUUUACUUUUGUUUUUUCAUUCAAAACCCUAAAAUUAAUUUCUUUCUCAAGUCUUAUGCAAUUGGUUUACAUGAAAGUUAAGGCCUAAGAGUCCUUUGGGAAACGAUACUUGGACUUGCCCAUUUUAUAUUACUUGAUAAUGAUCUGGUACACUUGCUAGGGACUUAACAAUUAUCAGGGAGGAGAAGUUGAACAUCGUUCCACUGUGAUGAAGUUGGUGGAUCCGUAAGGUUAUUUGGUCAGGUUUGUGUCGUUAAACAAGCUCUUACGGCGAGGCAUCCCGGGAUUUUGAUUUUCUUUUGUAAUUUGAAUUUUUAGAAUAGGUUUGCUUCUAUUGAGUAGUGUAGGGUAAUGUACCUUGUCUGAAACUUUUCUGCUAUAAUAGUUUGACUAUGUGCUUGCAUGAGAUAAUUGCUUGAUGAUGCUUGUUUUGAAUGAGGAUUGAGAUUGCCAUAUGCUGAGAUACAGGUGAAAUGUUCACUAGCUAUGUGAAUAGAUGCAUUGUGAUUUUGUGAUUGUGAUUAUGAGGCUAAGCAGGGUAUUUGAUUGAAUGGUUGGAAUAAGCUUGUGUGUGAGGUUUUUGAGCUCCAAAGUUCUUGUUGAUGUAUUUGCUAUCUAUGUGAAAACAUGAAUGAUUUUGCCUGAGUUUCUAUGAUUGAUUGAGUUGUAUGUAUGUGUCAUAUGAUCAAGGCCGUUUUUGAUAAGCCCUUUUUCUAGCCAAAUGAAAUUUUCGUCCCACAUGAAAAAUAACAUCUUAUGUUCUACCCUUUUUAAACCUAAGCCUUAAACAAAAGAAAACCCUUGCUUUGAAAAUCUUUGCCUUGAGUUAGGAUGAGAAAUAUUUUGUGGUGUUGUUAAAGGUUCAAGUUUGGGGUUGAUAGGAGAAUUGAAAAAGAAAAUGUUUGACAUUGAGCUAAUGAGUUGAAUGAAAAUGCAUGAAAAAGAAAGAAAAGAUAGAAAAGAAAAGCAUGAAAAGAAAAGUUCAAUGUAAAGAAAAAGGGAAAGUUAGGAAUGAGUGAGAUUGGUAAAAAGAGAAUUUGUGCUGGAACCAUGAUUAUGUGAAUAACUCUCUUAACUCAAGGAUUUUGUCAUCAAGAAAAACCAAUUUUCCUUGUUAGCCCAAUCACAUUAUAAGCCUCGAGAAGUCCUUGUGAUGACAUGUGUAUGUGAUGAUGUUGAUUAUUGAAAAUGAAUGGCAAUUUUGUUCUAUGUGACAUAUGGAUGGUAGAGGGAUGAAGUAACCUUUUGAAACACUUGAGGCUUGAGUGAAACACUUUUUCUGGAGAGGUAGAAUUCCAUGAAUCCAUGAUUAUAUAUAUGCUUAGCUAAUUAAUCAUUCAUGAGAAUAGCAUCUGUUGGGUUUUAUGAGAUUGUGAAGAACACUAUAAUGGUUUGAUUUGAAGCAUAUGUGCAUCUUGAUUGAAUUUUCCGGAUAAGCUGAUUUAAGUGAUAACUUGUGUUGAAAUAUGGAGUUUGAAAAGGUUGAACCAUUGUGAUGAAUUGUGGAGAUUAGAUUACAUUGUGUUUGCUUGAGGACAAGCAAAGUUCUAAGUUUAGGGUUAUGAUAACGGUCUAAAAACCGUUAUUUUCAUCAUUCAAUUUUACAUAAAAACAUACCUUUUAUGACUUAGAAUUUGCGUGAAAUCAUGCAAAAUGUUUAAGUUAGAAAGAAAGAAAGUCAAAGUGGGUUUUCUAGGUUUUAUGUUUGGUUUCCCUUAUUUUGAUAGAAUUUAUUAGGAAUUUGGUGAUGGAAUUGAAGGAAGAGAAGUGUUGGAAGAAGAAGAAGGUGGAAAAGUGAGGAAAACAUGAAUCGCAGCCACUGUCAGGCAGUGUGACCUUCUAUGCAUAACGUCGCCAAGCGCUUAAGGGGCACCGCUAAGGGGUGGAGUUGGAAUUGCACCCACCGUGGGGCGGUGUUAACACUGUCGGGCGGUGCACUUAAGGGACCUGGGCUUAUUUUCAGUUAUUGUUCUGUGUUAUAAAUACAUUUGCACGACCUAGGGCAUGGAUCUUUUGGUAGAAAGGAUGCAGAAACACAGUUUUCACACCUCGGAGGCGGAUUUUGGAUGCGAGAGCUCCAAUAUUACAAAUCUAGGGUUAUCUUUUAUCUUCUUUCCAUUCAAUUCAUCUAGAUUCACCAUGAUUAUGGUGAACCAAACCCUUUUUUGUUGGGGAACGAUGUAAUGCUUUGAAACUUUCUUAUAUCGAAUUUCUUAUUUUAUUCAUAGACUUGUGUUUAUGAAUAGUUUGAGUUUUUCUUUCAUUCUUAUGAGUGCUUUGUUUAAGACAUUAUUCAAAUGCAUCAUCUUUGAGUAUUUCUAUAUGGAGACGUAUAGUUAGGUCUAAACAUGAAUAAUUUCUCUUGAUAAUGAAUAUUACCUAGACACAGGAAUAGGAACAUCAAUUGCCUUAAGCUUAUGUGUUUAUUGCAUGAUCAAUUACUAGGGAGACUACAGAUGGUAAACUAGCAAUUGUGAUUUGGCUCUUUUCACCGAGAGAUUGGGCUUAAAGUAAAAUUGAGUGGCGUAAACAUUGACAACCAAGUUGAAGUGGAUAUUUGAGAGUGGAUUAGGAUGAAAUCGUAAACCUCACUAACAACACCAUUCAUCCAUAUCUUUUUCUUGCCAAUUGAUCAAAGUCUUUGUUGUUUAUUUCUUGUUUUGCAUUUAAAACUCAACUUAUCAUUUAUUUAAGUCUUAUGCUUUCCAUUAAUCACAUGAACGUUUAGGCCUAAGAGUCAUUUGGGAGACGAUCCUCAGACUUACCGUUUAUUGAUUACUUGAUACAAUCUGGUACACUUGUCAGGGUGUUAACACCUAUGUUCAUGCACCUACAUACCCAUUGUGUAUCACUAAGUGGCCUACUAGAACUAAUGGUGUACUAUCUACUCUAAAAUGUAGCAGAAUAUGGUUAUGCAUUGACCUAGCCAUGGUAAAUGGGCCAUUAGGUGUAUUAGAUAUAUUAUCUUUAUCUUGUUUUUGUUUUAUGUCUUUAGUUAGUUUGUUAUUAUUUAUUAUUUUUAUUUUGGGCUUAGCUAAUAUUUCUUGUAUUAUAAAUAGAGUGUCCUAUGUGUAUAUUCAAUGGGAGAUUAAUCCUAUACAUAGUUUUCACUAUAUUCAUCAUGGUAUCUAGAACCUGGUUCUUGUAAGGAAAAAAAAAUUGUUAUCUCUGUCAUUACACCUACUACUGUCGGCGGCGACGCCAUCUAAUGCUAUCAAUGGUGCCAUCAUCUACCGAUGUCGUCUACCGUAACCACUACUAGAGUUUCAAUUUCAAUUAACGGUCCCACGAUUUUGAUGGUCUCGGUGAGGUGACCAUUGUAACUAUCUUAAUUUGGAUUUUAGAAAAUGUGUAAAAAUUUAAAAAUUUUCACAAUCAUGAAUAGAAUCAUUCUAUUUUAAUACAACAAAAAUCUAUAAAACAAAUUUCUUUCAUAUUCUACAUCAUGGUUAUUUAAUAUUUAUAACUCGAUGAUUAAAUAUAAAAGUAUACAAUUACAAAACAAUUUAAAACCAAACAUUAAAUAUGCAUGUCAGUUAUAAAUCUUACCAAGUCUUUAUCCUAAGCUCUUCAAAAUAAUCCUUUACACCCGUACAGUCAUCUGCAUUCAUAUAUGAGUCUAUGUAUAACCUGUAUUUAUAGUAUCAUUAUGAUAACGGUCUAAAAACCGUUAUUUUCAUGCUUAAAUUUGAUAGUAAAACACACCCUUUAUGGCUUAGAAUGGGCUUUGAAUCAAGUAAAACGCUUAGUGAUAUUAUGCUUGUUUUGCAUUGUUUUGCAGGGUUUUUAGAUAAAUUGAAGAUGGAAGUAAAGUAAGGUGAACUUAGACCCGUGAAAGAAGGAGAAAAAACAUGAAGAGAAGGGUCAAGCAAGCCGCUGAGCGUCAAUGGCCGCUAAGCACUCAGAGCGAUUAGAGGGAAACCGCUCAGCGGCAAAACUGACCGCUGAGCGGUCAAAGCGGCAAGACCCAAACCGCUGAGCAGUGAACUUAGGCGCCUGGGCUGUUGUUUUUUUUUUAGCUAGAUUCUAUAAAUCUAUCUGUAAUCUAUCUGUUAUCUUUUUGGGCUUAUACAUAGCCCUAGUGCGAAUUAGAAAGGGAUUCUUUUGGCAGAGAGAAACGUCCAGAGCUAUUCCACACACCUUGGAGGAGGUUCCUUGGAUGCUUAGGGUCCAUUCAACCAAGAUUAGGGUUAUUUCUUCCAUUCUGUCAUUAUUUUCUUCUAGUUUCACCAUGAUUAUGGUGAACUAAACACUUUGUUGUUAGGGAACAAUGUAAUCUUUUGAAACUCUCAUAUAUUCAAAUUCUUAUUUAUUUCAUAUGCUUGUCAUAUACUUAUUUAUCAAUUGUUGGGUUCUCAUCUGUGCUCAAAGCUUUUAUUGUUUAACUCAUACAGUAAAAUAUGUUUGUUUUUAUCGAUAUGGGGACGUACGGUAAUGUCAUGAACUGGUGGGAAAUUCCUCGAUUAUGCCAAUAUCGCCUAGGGAUAGGGGUAAGAUGGUCAUUUGUAAUUGCUUUCGAUCGCAUUGCAUUAUUGGUUACUAGGGGAGGCUGGGGAUAGCAAGCCGGUAAUUAGUAAUAGGCUCUUUUCACCAAGGGAUUGGGUUAAGGGUAAUUAAGAAAGUAUGCAUGGCAAUUAGAUAAAUAAGUGAAGUAAAUAAGAAGAGUAGAUAUAUGAGAGUGGAUAAGAUGAAACUGUAAACCCCAACAACACCAUUCAUCCAUAGUUUCUCAAAACCAAUUGAAUCAACUACAUUGCAUGUUUAUUUUUUUUCUUUGAAUAUAACUACCAAAUUUAUUCCUUUCUCAAGUCUUAUGCGAUUAGUUUACAUGAAAGAUUAGGCCUUUGAGUCCUUUGGGAAGAACGAUAUUGGGUUUACCAAUUAUAUUACUUGAUAACGAUCUGGUACACUUGCCAGGGGUUUAACACAUUACACAAGCACAUAUACCAACAAACAAAUACAAACACAAACAAGUAGAGGUGAUCUAACGUUUACAACAUAUAUAUACAAAUAGUAUAUGAUGGAAGCGGUUCCAAUCUUCAAGAAUUGGACAGCUCCUUAGUUAGAAUGACGCAGCGGAGAUGACAAAAUGGUUGAUGGAGGCAGUGCACUGAAGGUGUUUGAUGAAUUAUUUGGUGCGGGUUUGGAAGUGUAUAGGUAGAUUCUCUAACUCAGACGACCUUCCAAGGGGAAAGGAACCUAGAGGAUAAGUGUGCUAAUAAGACACAAGUCAGUGAACUUGAAGAAGAAGUGGCUGGUUGCAAUCCAACAACAUUUCACUAUAUUCAUUCAAGUUAAGUUUUACAAUGGAUUGAAGCUCUCUUUUAUAGAUGAAGAGGAGCUUGAAAAUGUAAAUGAGUCCUCUUUGCCUCCUUUGUUCUUCCUUGCUUGGCAACAUUCCUAGGAUGUGUAGGCAUUCUUUCCAUCCUUUAUUAGUUUCCUACAAAGCAAUGUAAAUGAAUGUAUUUAGUUAAAGAGAGCCUGCUAAGACUUAGAAAGAAAAGAUCAAGUUCUUAUUCAACUUCCCUUUCUUAGUCUUAGUGUUAAGUUGAUACUUCUUUGGAUGGGAAGUCCCUUAAGGGGUUGCCAUCAGUAAUAUCACAUACAACAUCCAAAAAAGCUAAUAAUCAAUUUUCAUAAAUUUCAACACUUCCCAACAACUAUAACAACUUUAUUCAAUUUCCACCAUUUAUUCAAAACACAAUAAUUAAAACCUAAUAAUUGCUACCAAUCACCUAAAACUUAAGGAUUGAAGUACUUAAUUUUGACAUAAUAAUUCAAAACACAAUAAUAGUUGAAAUACCAUUAUUUUUAUACUUAAUUUUGACAUUAAACACACCCUUUAUGACUUAGAAACUAGCUUGAAGUCAUGCUUUUUGCUUAAGUUAAGGAAUAAGAGUUGAAGGUAUUAUGCUUGGUUUUCCUUGUUUUGGCAGGAAUUAACAUGAAUUAGAUGAAGGAAGUUGAAGUAGUAAAGAGUUGGACUUAAGAGGAGAAGGAAAAGUGCAUAAAAGAAGAACUGCAACCACUGUUGGGACAAAUCGGCAAGUGUACCGAGUCACACAAGAAAUAUAAAAUGGUAAGACCAAGUAUGGUAUCCCAGAGGACUUUCGGUGCUAAAUAGUCGUGUGAUAAUGAUAUUAAUUAAGACUUAAAUAAAAAGAGAUCAUUUGUUUUGAAUGCAAAAACAUAAAAUUAAAUAUGAAUGCAAUUGAUCAAUAGCAAAGGAGCACAAAUAUGAACGAAUGUUGAUUAAUAUGAGAUGGAUAUGUUGUUGGGGUUUGAUUUCACCAAGUUCCCUCUCAUGUAUAUAAUAAUUCUUCUUUAUGCAUUAAUACCAAUGCUACUCACUAAAUUACCUAAACCUAAUCCCUCGACGAAUAAGCCUGUCCCAAAUUACCAGUUCAUGCAAUUCCUAGCAUUCCUAGUAAUAAGAUGUGAAGAUCAAGAGCUUAAAGACAACCAAGACUCACACCGUCAUCCCUGAGCAAUAUUACUCUUGGGAGUAAUUCAACAAGAACCAGAAUUGUAAGGAACCUCCCGACACUCGUCUAAUUCAUAAAUCAUCCUAAUGAAUAAGUUAAACACAACAAGCAUUGAAACAGAUGAAUUACUCUAACAAUUAAUGGAAAAGCAUAUGGAAUUAAGAAUCAAUUCAAAUACAUGCGAGUUUACAAGGUUACAUCAGCCCCCAUCAACAAAUAGAAAUUAGUUCCCCAUAGAUAUGGGGGAACUCUAUGAACAAUGGAAGAGAAUGAGAAAGAGAAAGCCUAAGAAUUGGGAAAAGAGUGUAUUGUUAUGCUCUUCUCUGUUAGAGUCGGAAACGUGCAAAAACAAGGCUCAGUCCAAUAGAAUUGAAACUGAGUAGAAAUUGGGCCUGAUCCACAAAACCCGAUGCUUAAGCGCCCCACUUCGGGCGCCCGGGCGGUGAAAACACCUCAUGUAAGGCUUGGGCCUCCACAUAGGGUUUCCACACUUGAGCUUCCAUUCAGGGUGCCCGAGUUUCGUGUUGUCCCUCCUUCUGGUGUUUUUUCAGUCCCUUUUGAGUUCCAUCCUCUUGGCUCUUGAUCUCUGCUUCCAGUAUUACUUCAAUCUCUGUCAAAACAAAGGGAAUUAGUCAUAAAAUCAUUGAAAUCAACGUCAACUCCCUUAUUCACACAACUUAUUGCAAAAUCAUGAGUCCAAGAAGGUUUCUAAGUGAAAAAGGGUGCUUUUAGUAUCAAAAUAGCAUCACAAAUAACUGCAUUUUAAAUCAUUAUCAACCACCGUUGAGCACACUUCCACCGCUGAGUGCCAGCCUCGUUGUAGAGUUCUUUGCACAACGCUUAAGCGCCAACGCUGAGGGAAAAAAAAGUGUCGCAGCCACUGCUGAGUGGCACUUUUACCACUGAGCGCCAGUCUCUUUAGUGAGUUCACUACCAAACUCUUCAGCGUCAAGCUGAGCAUUUUUCCUGAGUGUCGCAUGUACCGUUGAGCAGUAUUUUAGCGCUAAGCGCCAUUUUCGUGAGUCUUGGCCAGUUUCUGCUAACUUUUAUGAACUAUAUAUUGAUUUGCACGACCCAGAGAGGGUAUCUUUUAACAAAAAGAGGUGCAGAAACACUCGGAGGCAGAUUUUGGAUGCAGAAGCUCCAAUCUACAAUUUCUAAGGUUUUAUCUUUCAUUCUUUUCAUUAUUUUCAUCUAGUUUCACCAUGUCUAUGGUGAACUAAACCGUCAUUGUUGUUGGGGAAACGAUGUAAUCCUUUGAAACUCUCAUGUAUUGAAUUGAUCUUGAUUAUAUAUGAUUUACUUUAUUAAUUGUUAGGGUUUUUCCUCUACAGUCUAUGCAUGCUUUGUUUAACACAUUCAAUUGCAUGAUCAUUGAUUUUAUCGAAUUGCACAGUGAAAGAGGAGCUCCACUUCAACAAAAGGGAGUUCUACAAUUUCCAACUCAAGAUUCCUUGCUUGCAUAGAACAAGAUCAUUGUUGGAAAACCAGUGUCCUUCCAAUAAUUCCUACAUACAGUGUCCUUCCAACUCAGGAAGAAAAUGCACUAUAAUGGUUGUGGUUUUUCAACAAGGAAUUUAUAGAAGACCUCCACGUCAAAAAUAUAAAUCUCCUCUCUAACCCUUAACCAAAAUAUAGGUAGUAAACACAGCAAGACAUGUAGUAAGAUGUCCUCUCUCCUGCAAUCUGCCAAUCACCACUUUGAACAAUCCUCAAAGCGAACCAGACUCCAUGAGUCUAUUCCCUGCAAUUGCAACAGGUCCAAUAUAGCAACUCCACAGAUGUUAAACAUAAUCUUGAUCAAACCAGAAACACCUUCAAUGUGCAGAAUGUGAUCAAGCAAUGUGUGUGAUGAAGGUUGAAAAACAGUUAUUUUCAUAUGUCAAUUUGGACCAAAUUACGCCCUUUACUACUCGGAAUGAGCCUAGAAUCAAGCAAAACUCAAUAAAUGAGUCUGUAGAGAGUGAAAAGCUGUUUUUAGUGAUUUUAUGCUUGUUUUGCAUUGUUUUGUAGCUAUUUUGAGAAAAUGAAGAAUGAAGUCGAAGAUACAGGUCGUAGACUCAAGAAAAGAGCAGAAAAAUGAAGAUUUGAAGAGUUGAUGCAGGACGAGGAGUGUCGCCGGGCGGUCCAGGACGAGGAGUAGGCAUGGCGAUUGGCGCUGGGCAGUUAUGAGGGAAACCACCGGGCGGUUUGGAGGAUUAUGGGAAACCGCCGGGCGACACACUUAAACCGUCGGGUGGUGGCUCGCUGGGCUUGGGCUUGUUUUCUGUUGCGCUCCUCACCUUUAAAUACCCCUAUUUCGAGUUCAGAGUUAUUCUUUUGACAGGGGUGAAUGGCCAGACCUAGUUUUGCUCUCUGGAGAGGAUCUCUUGGAUGCUUAGGCUCCUUUUCAUCUUUUCUAGGGUUUGCUCUUCCAUUCUUCUUCCAUUUCUCAUCUAGUCUCACCAUGUCUAUGGUGAACUAAACCCCAUUGUUGUUGGGGGAAACAAUGUAAUCUUUUGAUACUCUUUUUUAUUAAAACUCUUGAUUAUUUUUAUGGUCUCCAUAUGUUUUGAUUGAUAAUUGUUGGGUUAUCAUCUGUGCUUAAGGCCUUCAUCGUUUAACUCAUUCGGUAACUGAUGUUUGUCUUUAUUGAUAUGGGGACGUACAAUAAUGACAUGAACUGGUGAGUAAUUUCUUGAUUUUGCAAUACCACCUAGGGAUAGGGGUAGGACGAUCAAUUGCGCUAACUUCUGUUUAUAAUGCGGUAUUAAUUGCUACGGGAGCCUAGGGAUAGCAAGCCAGUAGUUAAUAUUAGGCUCUUUUCACCGAGGGAUCGGGUUAAGGGGAGGCUAAAAAAGUCGCAUAACAAUUAAUUAAUCAAACUAAUAUUCAAGAGGAGUAGGUAAGAGAGAGCGGAUUAGAUGAAAUUGUAAAUCCCAAACAACAUCCAUUCAUCCAUUGUUUUCUUUUGUCAAUUGAAUCAACUCUAUUUUGCAAGUUAAUAUUUUUGUUCUCAAAUCCAAUUUAUUAAUUUUUAUUUGCAAGUCUUAUUAUUUUAAUUCAAGCGAACGAGAAAGCUAUUCGAGUCUCUUGGGAAAACGAUACUUGGUCUUACCAUUUAUAUUACUUGUACGAUUUGGUACACUUGCCAAUCCGUCAACAGUAUGCACAGUCAGACUCCUUUUGAAUCUCUUUCAAGAAAGAUCACCACCCUCUUCUUGGAGAAUUCUUGGAGCUCUAAUUACCAGAGAUAUCAAUCUGAAACAAAAAUGAAAUUGUUAUAUCAUCAAAAGUCUCUGAACAACUUCGUGCUUAGCCAAUUUAUAGAUUUCUAUUUAACAGACAUUCUCUGAAUCGAGUAAGCUACUAAUUCAGUCGACUGAGUUAUGACAAUUAUAACAGUUCAAUCAAAAUAGUAGCAUUCAGUCAACCAAAAUAAAAACUAUUUUAAUACAUUUGACCAACUAUUCAAUGCUCAACUAACUUUUGAAAAUAUAGCCGUUAUAGUGCAAGAGCAUAACAAAAUUUCAAAACAGACAACUAAUGCAGUCGAGUAUGUGGCGCAUACAGUCGACUUUGACAAGUAAGAUCAUUUUGAAAUUAUUUUCUUCUGAAAAUCUCACAAAGUACUGAUUCUCAAAAUUUGUACAAAGACUUUAGUAUAGUCGAAUAAUAGUCGAAUAAUUUUAUGAUGUGGUCGACUUUACUGCAGCUUUGUCACACAGUUAUAAGUUCACAAAAGUGUUUGUGGUUUUCGUGCAUAAAAGCAUGUGCAAUGCAUCCCGAAAUGAUGUAACAAGAACAAGCUCAAUAUGUAUGCUUUCACAUAGCAGUACAGCACAUAAACAUGUUCAACAGAUAUAUCAAACAUUCAACAUAAGAACAUGUAACACAACAACAACAUAUGUGUGUUAUUAAGCAAUGUGUUGUCAUCAUAAAAAAUCAUAGUGAUAUAGAUAUUGUGUUGUCAGCAAUCUCAACAAUCUCCCCCUUUUUGAUGAUGCACAACCAUGAUUAAUAACCAACCAUGUUUGUACAAUCAAAUUCAAAAUAGAGUAGCAAAAGAUAUAACGUAGUUCAAAUACUCUGUAUGCAACAUAACCAGACAACAAAAUAUCAAGCAGAAUAUGAGAUAGAAAAACAUUUUCCCCUUUUCAUAAAGCUUUACUAAAUUCUUUCCCCCUUUGUGCAUGAACAUAAAAUGAAUGCUCUAGAUAUUUAUGCUGAUAUUCAAACAGAGAUGCAUUAGAAAUAAAAUAUGCAAUUUCUUAAAAUGUAAUGAUGCUCUCCUUAUCACAUUUAAUCACAUGUAAAAGAUAACUCCCCCUGAAAUGCAAGCAUGUGAAGAAAAAUGUAUAAAAAGAUGUAAUACUUGUUGAGAUUAUUGACAACACAAACUCUAUAUCGAUCUAGUUUCUGAUGAUCACAACACAAUGCUUAAUAACAGUACACAUGUUGCUGCAUUACAUGUUCUUAUUCUGAAUUGGUUGUCAUAUCUGCUGAACAUGUUUUGAUGUACUGUGAUGUAUGUUCUUAUGUUGAAUGUGUGAUAUAUUUUUGGAACAUGCUUGUAUGAUAAUGUGCAGUAAAAUAGCUUUGAUAACAGUACACAUUUUAUGGCACAUUUUUGGAAGUGAAAAAUCACGAGCACGUUUAUGAACUUAUAAUUGUGUAACAAAGUUCUAAUCCAGUCGAAUACAUCUAUAAUGGAUUCGACUAUUCUAAUGCCUUUGUACAUAUUUUGAGAAUCAAUGCUCUAUGACGUUUUGGAUAGAAAACAAUUUCAAAAUGUUUUUACAUGUGUCAGUUGACUUUGUCCAGUGUACAUUCGACUAUAUCUUUGAUCUGUUUUGGAAUUUUGUUAUGCUUACACGAUCCAACGGCUAUAUUUUCAAAAGUUUGUUAAGCAUUGAUGACUUGGUCAACUGUAAUGAAUGUGUGUUGAUUUUUGUUGACUGAGAGCCUUUAUGUUGACUGUCUGCUAUAACUGUAAUAAUACAAUCGACUGAAUUAGUAGGCUAUUCGACUGAGAAACAAUCUGACUCACAAAAAACUAUAAAUUGACUGAACACGAUUUGUUCAAGAAACUUUUGAUACUUUGACAUUUUCAUUUCUUGUUUCAGAUUGAAUUCUCUAUGUUAACAGAUCCAAGAAUUCUCCAAGAAGACUGUGGUGAUCUAUCUUUAGAGAGAUUCAAAGGGAGGAGUCUUAUGCGCUGACUGUGUGAUCAUUAUCUGCACAAAGAAGAUGCUUCUUGAUUGAUCGAUUGAAGGCUUGGCAUCCUGUGAAGACUGCUGCAUUGAUUGAAGGCUUGGCAUCUGAUGAGUCAAUGUUUUCUCUACUUUACUUAGUUUAUUGCACUUAAAUAAAUCAGGGAAUUGUGCUUAAUUGUCCGUUAUUUCUCCGUUUUUCUUAAUUCUGCUUAAUUUGGUCGGAAAAUCACAUUUUCACUAAUUUGAAUUUUCUGAGCAAAUUAAUUGCAUUUUUAAUUGUAGGGAAAAUAUUGGAGACAUAUUUUGGAGCAUUAGGAGGUGGCGUGGACAUUCAAGAUUCAACAUUUAGUCAUUGAAAAUUUAAUAAAAAUUGUAAUCUAGUUGACUAGGAACUUUAAUUAAGCUUUUGGUGCAUUGGGCCAAUGUUGGCAAAUUUUAUGAUGGGCCCAAACUUUGAGGGACAUGUGUCACCAAACCCUAGGGUUUCUUAGAGGUGGACCCCACCAAUUUUGGAGGCUUGGGCGGUUUUAGAAGAGAAAUGUCAAGACACACUCUAGCACACUUCAUACUCCACUUUUCAUUUUUCAGUUUGCAUGUAUGAACUCUCUCUUGGAGACCAUGUAGGGUUUUACGUUUUUGGAGCUAUGGAAUGACCAAGAUCAUAUUUUUCUUCUUCUCUUACUUAAAUCUUGUUUAUCUUUGCUUGGUGGAAGUGAAUCCCUCACCCAAUUUCCUUUCAUUUCUUCUUGAAAGUUGAGAGCAUGAGCUUGAGUCUUGAGGUGGUUUCUUGCAUUUUUCAUGAUGGUUCUUGAGUUUGAAUGAAAGUCUAUUUCGUUUUCCUCUUCAUUUGCUGCAAUACUCACGGUUUUCAUUUCAUUUUACUUGGUUGGAUAAUGAAAAUGGAGUUCUUGUUGAGGUUUGGGUUGAAGGAAGCUUAAGUUGAUGUGUGGGUGUUGUGGUUUGGACUCUUUCUUCUUGUUUUUCGGUUUUAAUGUUUGAAGCAAGAUUACAACCAGAAUUUUGUGUUGUUUAUGGUGGCUGGACGUGCUGGACUUCAAGGGUAGGGAUUCAUUUUUGUUUUUUACUAAAAGCUUGAAGAAAUGGGAAGGUUUGGUUGGGUCAAAUGAGUAGAAGUUUGAGUUNAUCAUUCUUGUGUUAAUUUGGCAUUUGAACUUUGGUCUCUUGGGUGUAUGUUCGGUGGAAUGGAGGAAGAAAACAUGAAUGGUGUGUGUUGGUAGAAGAGAAAAACCGAAAAUGGAGAAAGGAAGGAGGAGAGAAGGUGCAUUUAAGUUUUUACCAUUUUUGGGCAAACACAUAUGAUGCUUGUUUUGACUAAGGGAAUGUUUCCACUUUUGGCUUUGUCUCCUGAACAUGUUUUUGCUGAGAAUUGAUAUGGUGAAGGGAGAUGUUUGUGUUUGAGUUUUUCAAUUGUCUUUGCUUACAUGGCACUUUGACUAAUGCAUUCAAGGUAUCUUUCAUUUGGCCUUGGUUUUUGAAACACUCUUUGCUACCUCAUGUUGUAUCUCUUGGGAAUUUGUGUGUAUUGGAGUGUGCUACCAGAUUUUGCUGCAUGGAAGGGAUAAAGUGACGGUUUUGGUGUGUAGAAAGGCACAUGUGUGUUGUCUUCAAAAUUGGAGCAGAUGGAAAAAAGGAGGCAACAGAAGAAUAGUUUAUUGAAGAUUGAAUUGAAGUUUGACUUUAGGAGGCUAUAUGACUCACGCACAAGAGGUCUUCUUAGGCCAUUUUCAUUUUCAAUUUCUUUAUUUGGUGCACACUUGGUCACAUGAAUUGCUAGAAAAAAGUUGUGUUUGCUUAUUUCUUUUGUUUUGAAUUAGUUUGCAUAAUAGGAUUAGUUGUUUUUCAUUUCUUUGAUGCAGUUUUGCAUUUGAUAAUUUUAAUUAAGCUAGAUAUUUGUUUGUCACAUUGUUGGGGUCUAGUAUUUUAAUUUAUUUCAAUGUUGUCUAAGGUUUCUAGUUGUGUUAAUUUAAUUUCCAUGGUAGCUUAAAUUAGUUUGGUUGGUCAUUGACGAUAUUGCACUGUUUCCUUGAGAUUCUUNACUGUUUCCUUGAGAUUCUUGAAUUGUGAUUGUCUGUGCACUCUNNCUNGGUUAAUGUGAAUUCUAUUUUUGCACUUGCAAUUGGGUAUAGGCUUAGUUGCCUAGUUGGUGUUACAUCUUCGCUUAGUUGAUAUAACUUAAUGGUGUAAUUUAGAUUUGAUAUUAACAUUAUGUUCGCUUUUAUGAAAACGGGGUUAACCUUCGCUUAGUUGGUUAACUUUGUUGGAUUAGAGGUUUGAGUCGCAACUUUAUUUUGUUGAUCUGUGAUUGGAAACAUUGUAAUUAAGUUAAUGACCAACCGUUUUUAUUCUGUAUGUGAUUUCGUUUUGCAUUUCUAUAUUCAUAUUUCUAUUUGCAUCCGUGUUUUAAUUUAAUUCAUCGCAUUCACAAACUUUUCAACAAAACCCCUCCCCCACUUCGUGUUUGACCUAAUUCUCGAACCACAUUUGGUCCUUGAGAGACGACCUAGGAGUCAUUCCUAGCUAUACUGCAUUCUUUUAUGCUCAUCAAAUUUGUGUGGGUUGCGACAGCCCAUCAGCAUCCUGUGAAGAGUGCUGGAAUUGACCUGUUAGGUUACACAUUGAGGAUUGUUCGACGUGGGUUCAGAUUGCAGAAGAGGGGAUUCUUGUUGCAAUUUUGGUUUUGUUGUGCAACUAUAUUUUGGUUUUGGAUUAGAAAGGAGAUUUAUAUUUUUGCGUGAGGCUUCUAUAAAUUCCUUGUUAUAAAAACCGUAACCAUUAUAGUGCAUUUGUUUCCUGGGUUGGAAGGAAACUGGAUGUAGGCAUUGUUGGCCGAACCAGUAUAAAAACUAGUGUUUGAUUUUCUCAAUCCCUACACUCUUUAUUUCAGUCGACUAUACUUGUUACGCAGUCAACUACGUUUUUUCGCUGCAUAGAAAUUUUCAUUACUUACAUUUCAAGAAAGUUCAAAAAGCUUUAUACUUUUGUUUCAAGAUUGUGAAAAGAUUUUGUUUAUGAACUAAAACCAAUUCACCCCCCUCUUGGUGUAAAACGAAGCCUACCUGUUUCCUAACAAUACUCCCCCUUUCAUUAUGCAUAGAUAUCAAAACCAGAUCAGAUGCACAAUGCAAUACAGAUAAUCAGAGUAUACAAUCAAUAUAGCAUAUAGUUGUAUCAAAGACAAGAUAUCAAACAAAUCAGUCAUGCAAUGAUACAAACUUCAACAAUCUCACAAUAUUAUCUCAAUCAAGAUAUGCAGAAUCAAUUAAGAUCAUAGAUAAUUGCAGAUAAUCAAGAUCAAAUACUCAAUCAACGAAAUAUAACCAAAUUCCAAAAUUGGAAUUUAUAACCCUGUUAUGAGUAGUCGAUUGAAUUAAUUUCCAAUCGAAUACAUUGCUUCUCAAUGAUGUUGAAUUCCACUUGUAGUUUCCAAAGCAAUGUUUUUCCUGCAAAACCUUUCAAAGAUCUUCUGUAGAUCAAGCAUUUUAGUUAUGCAAGAAAUAUAAUAAAAAAUCAGAAGUCAAUAUGUAAAGAUGUGUAACAGAUCAAGCAUAAUCGACUCCAAUCAUAUCACAGUCGAAUCGAUCAAUAUUCAGCACAACAGAUUUUAAUCAAUCAAAUUAAAGCAGCUAAAAUUGAUUAAAACCAAAAUUUUAUUUCCUUGUUAAAAUGAUAUUACAUUCAUAGACACAAACAAGGAACAAAAUAGAAAGAUGGCAAUCUAAGGCAUACUCAAAAAGAGACAAAAUAAUUCUUGAGACUCAAACACUGCAGAGCAGCCAAAACUUUAUUCAGAUUCAAAUGACCCUGUGGAACUUUCUUCACUUAUGUCGUCAACAUCUUCUCUAAAAGAUGCUUCUGAGAAGGAGGAAAUGUCAAUGUAGUGCUUGAAGAUUUCAUCCAUUUUCUCGUGCAGAGUAGAUAAAGUUCUCUUUAGCAAGUUUAUUCUUUUGUUUGCACAAUCACGUCGAUGUCUUACAUGCCUUUGAAACUCAGAGUUUAAAGGAGGAAGUUCUUGAUCACUAUCAGAAUCAGGCAAUGUCCCUUUUCUCUUUGCUGAGUCAACCUCAUAUCUGAAAUACCAUCCACGAUCAGUUUUCUUGAGUCCAAUGCAAGUUAAAGUAGCUUUCCCAAUAAGAUUUUCUUUGCUCCAAGAGAGUUUCUUUUCUCCUGAUAGGUUAACACCACUUUUUUCCAACACUUUGCUUAUGAAUACACCAUAAGGUAGCUUAUGCCAAUCAUUGAUCUCAACAUCAAGAAUGUGCCAUUUGAAUACAGCUACCCAGUUUGUUGGUAUCCUUUGCAUAAUAUCAUUUAGUAGACAAACAUCCCUCGAAGUUAGCUUGAUCAGAUUUGGUCUUCCAGGUAGCAAGAUAUGACCAAUAAUAAAAGUAAUGAUUUUCUCUUCCCUUUCAAGCCAUUUGAACAGAAAUCAUUCCUCUUUCCUGUAUCUUCCACGAUACCUCAUACAAUUUUUAAACAUUUCUGUUUUCCUAAUUAUCUGAUUCUAUCGACAGUUGAUAAUGGUCUAAAAACCAUUAUUUUCAUGCUUAAAUUUGAUAUCAAAACACACCCUUUAUGGCUUAGAAUGAGCUUAAAAUUAAGUAGAACAAUUAGUUGAGUCACAUGAGAGUUAAAAGUUGUUUUUAGAAUAUUAUGCUUGUUUUGCAUUAUUUUGCAAGGUUUUGAUGAGAAUUGAAGAUGGAAGUGAAGUAGGAAGGACUUAGACUCAAGAAAGAAGGAGAAAAAGGAAGAAAAGAAGAAUCAAUGCACCGCUCAGUGUCAAAUUCCAGCGCUGAGCGCUAGACUCGAGGGAGCAGUCAUUGCCUCUCACUCAAGUAGUGUCGCUGAGCGUUCAGGCGAUUAGAGGGAAACCGCUAAGCGGUUAAAUUUGACGCUGAGCGGUUGUCUACUGAGCUUGGGCUUAAAUUUUUAUGAUUUAUAAAUACCCUCAGUGCGAUUCUGAGAGUAUUCUUUUGGCAAGCAGAGAAGUCCAAACCUAUUCUCCACUCCUCGGAGACAAUUUCUUGGAUGCUUAGGCUCCAAUUCAUCAAAUCUUGGGUUUACUUUUCCAUUCUUUGAUUUAAUUCCAUCUAGUUUCACCAUGUCCAUGGUGAACUAAACCCUUUGUUGUUGGGGAACAAUGUAAUCUUUUGAAACUCUCUUAUAUUGAAAUUCUUGUUUUAUUCCUAUGCUUGCAUAUGCUUAUAUUAUCAAUUAUUGGGUUUCUUAUCUAUGCUUAAUGCUUCUAUCGUUUAACUCAUUCGGUAAGAUGAUAUUUGCCUUUGUCGAUAUGGGGACGUAUGGGGAAGUCAUGAACUGAUAGGAGAUUCCUUGAUUAAGCAAUACUGCCUAGAGAUAGGGGUAGGACGAUCAAUUGUAUUUUGCUUCUGUAAUAUAAUGCAUUGCUAAUUACUUAGGGAGACUAGGGAUAGUAAACUAGUGGUUAGUAAUAGGCUCUUUUCGCCGAGGGAUCGGGUUUAGGGUAGACUAAGAAAGUUUGCAUGACAAUUACAUAAUAAAGCGAAUUUAAUAAGAAAAGUAUAUAUAAGAGAGUGGAUAAGAUGAAAUUGUAAACCCCAACAACUUCAUUCAUCCAUAUCUUUUCCUUACCAAUUGAAUCAAUUGCAUGUGCAUGUUUAUUUUCGUUCUUUGCAUUCUACCACAAAUGUAUUUCUUUACAAGUCUUAUAAGAUCAAAUUACAUGAAAGAUAAGGCCUAAGAGUCCUUUGGGAGAACGAUACUCGGACUUACCGUUUAUAUAUUACUUGAUAACGAUAUGGUACACUUGCCAGGGGCUUAAUAAAUGUAAUGCAUGAUUAAUUGCUAGGGAGACAAGACAUUGUAAACUAGUAUUUAGGAGUAGGCUCUCUUCACCGAGACAUCGAGUUUAGGGUAAAUUAGAAAGUGAAAUUGACAUUAAUAAAGGAGUUGAAUUCAUAGAUACAUGAGAGUGGAUAGGAUAAAGUCGGAAACCCCAACAACAUAAUUCAUCCAUAUAUCAUUCACCUGCGUAUUCUUUGGUUAAUUGAUCACAAUGUGCAUCCAUGUUUAUUUUCUGUUUUGCAUUCUAAACCUAAUUUUCGUUUCUCAAGUCUUAUGUAAUCAACAAAUCACAUGACUGUUUAGGCCAAUGAGUCUCUAGGGAAAACGAUACUUAGUCUUCCCAUUUAUAUUACUUCAUACGAUUCGGUACACUUGUCAAAGUCUUAACAAGCAUCAUAUUAUCACUUAAUAAAAAAGACAUCUAAAUAUCUAAUAAUCAUUCAAAUUUGACUUUCAUUCUCAACAAUCAUCAAUUUCAAAUAUUCAAAAUAUGCAUAUAAUACAUAUUUUUACUUAAAAUAACCACUUUAAUUAUCAAUGCAAUAAAAGAUCAUCAUAGUUCUACAUUGAGAGUUUAACAAUACAAUAUCAAAAAUAAAUUUUCCUUUUUGAAGAGAAACAUGUAAUAAAGUUUGUUAUUAACAUCAUAAUUUAUUAUAUAAAGUUAUUUAAUUAUAAUUAUUACACUAGUAAAAACCGAGCUUUUUCAGCGAUAUAUAAGAUUUGUUUUCGUAAGAACCGAAGCAUAUAAAAACAUGGUGGCAUUUUAAUAGUUAUGGCGACAUUAUAUGCCUCAUUUCAUUGGGAAUCGAUGCCUAAAGGGUAUACUGACUCGGUUAAAUAGGCAACUGAGGCAUAACUCCCUUUGUCAACCACCUGCCUAAUCUGCAAAUCAGACUUUUCGUUUCCUAGCCUCUUUGGGAAAAAGCUUCAGCCUCAGUUCCCUGACCAACCGAGGCAGAAAACUCUACUACAUCCCUUUGCAAACACUGCUUUCCACUGAAAAAUCUCAAAACAAGGCAUACUAAGGCAGUAUCUCCUGCCAAAACCAGGCAUCCUUUGAAACAGAACGUUCUAAUUCAUUUUGUCCAACCUCUAUUGGCUCGGUUAGUUGUGAGCCAAUCCUGUAUAGGUUUUCUGCCUCGGUUUAACUGCGAACCGAGGUGUAUUCGUUGAAUAUAAUUUAAAAAUUGUCAUUUCCUGUUUCAUUUUGAUUUUUUUUAAUGGUUUAGGCAUUGUUGACAAAUUGGGAAGUGUACCAAAUCGUACAAGUAAUAUAAAUGGUAAGACCAAGUAUCGUUUUCCCAAGAGACUAGUAUCGCUUCCUCGUUAUUAAAAUAAUAAGACUUGAAAAAUGAAAAUUAAUAAAUUGGAUUUGAGGAUAAAAAUAUUAACAUGCAAAAAUAAAGUUGAUUCAAUUGACAAACGAAAACAAUGGAUGAAUGGAUGUUGUUGGGGGUUACAAUUUCAUCUAUUCCACUCUCUCUUACAUACUACCCUUGAAUAUUAGUUUGAUUGAUUGUUAUGCGNNNNNNNNNNNNNNNNNNNNNNNNNNNNNNNNNNNNNNNNNNNNNNNNNNNNNNNNNNNNNNNNNNNNNNNNNNNNNNNNNNNNNNNNNNNNNNNNNNNNNNNNNNNNNNNNNNNNNNNNNNNNNNNNNNNNNNNNNNNNNNNNNNNNNNNNNNNNNNNNNNNNNNNNNNNNNNNNNNNNNNNNNNNNNNNNNNNNNNNNNNNNNNNNNNNNNNNNNNNNNNNNNNNNNNNNNNNNNNNNNNNNNNNNNNNNNNNNNNNNUUAAGCACAGAUGAUAACCCAACAAUUGACAAUCAAAACAUAUGGAGACCAUAUAAAUAAUCAAGAGAUUCAAUAAGAGAGAGUAUCAAAAGAUUACAUUGUUUCCCCCAACAUCAAUAGGGUUUAGUUCACCAUAGUCAUGGUGAAACUAGAUGAGAAAUGGAAGAAGAAUGGAAAAGCAAACCCUAGAAAAGAUGAUAAGGAGCCUAAGCAUCCAAGAGAUCCUCUCCAGAGACCAAAAUUAGGUCUGGCCGUUCUCCCUUGUCAAAAGAAUGAUUCUGAAAUUGCAAUAGGGGUAUAUAUAGGUGAGGAGCGCGUCAAAAAAUGGACCCAAGUCCAGCGAGCCACCGCCGGGCGGUUUAAGUGUGCCACCCAGCGGUUUGCCAUAAUCCUCCAAACCGCCCGGUGGCAAUCGCCACCGCCGGGCGGUUUCGCUCAGGUCCCCCCAGCGUCAAUCGCCAUGCCUUCUCCUCGUCCUGGACCGCCCGGCGGCACACUUAAACCGCCGGGCGGUGCAUCGACUCUUUAAAUCUUCAUUUUUCUACUCUUUUCUUGAGUCAACGACCUAUAUCUUCAACUUCAUUCUUUACUUUUCUCAAAUUAGCUACAAAAUAAUGCAAAACAAGCAUAAAAUCGCUAAAAACAACUUUUGACUCUCUCAAGACUUUUUUAUUGAGUUUUUCUUGAUUCUAAGUUUAUCCCGAGUAGUAAAAGGUGUAAUUUGGUGUUUUUCAACCUUCAUCAACACCCCAAACUUAGAAUUUUGCUUGUCCUCAAGCAAAACAAAACAAAACAACACAUAAAAUGAAAACUUGGCUUUAUACUAUUUCAUCCAAUGCCUCAACAAUCCCAAGGUACAUGACAAAACUACUCAACUCAAUAUCCUCAGUGAAAUCCAAAAUAAGGUGCAUGCAUGCUUUCAACCCAGAGAUUGCACAUUAGAUGUUAUACACUAUGAAUGAUCAAUCCACUAAGCAAAAAUGUACUCAUGAAAAUUAACAAAUCAUACCAAGCAAGUGUUUCACUCAAUCACUCAAGUGCUUUAGGUGACACUCCAACUCUCAAGUAUUCACAAGUCGCAUGAAACAAAAUUGCCAUUCAUCUAAAACAAUCAACAUCUUUACAUGCAAAUGCCAUCAAAAGGACUUUUCCAAGGCUUGUAAUGAGGUUGGGCUAACAAGAAANAAUUGGUUUUUCUAGAAUGCAAAAUCCUUGAGUCAAGAGAGCUAACAAAAUAUUCAACAUUUAAGCACAACUCUUUCACCAAUAUCUCUCAUUCCCAACUUCUUCCCUUUUCUUUUCUUUUUCAUUGAUCUCAUCUUCAUGCUUUUCUUCUUUUCUUUUCUUUUUCUCAUGAAUUUUUCUCUUUUCACCACAAUUGAGCUCAAUGCCUUUUACUUGCCUUUUCAAUUUUCCCCCGUACAACCCCAAACUUGAACCUUUUCAUCACAUACAAUUAAGCUCAUCCCAACUCAAGGUAAAGAAUUUCAUCAAGGUAAAGAAUUUCAAAACAAGGGUUCACAUCCUGUUUAAGGCUAAGGUUCAAAAAGGGUAUAAUAUUUCAAGCACUUUGGGUGAAAAUUUGUCUAGAGAAGGGUUUUCAAAAAUGGCCUUGAUCAUAUGACAUUCACAUGCAAUUCAAUCAAUCAUCAAGAUUAAAGCAAUAUCAUCCAUAUUUUCCUGUGAACAAUACAUGCAACAAUAAAAACUCUGGAGCUCAAAAUCUCACACACAUGCUUCCUCACACAAAAUUCAUUCAUACACCAUGCCUAGCAUCAUGACCACACUCUUAAAUUCAUCACCCAUCUAUUUCCUGGAUAUCAACAUGCAUUACAACUCAAUUCUCAUCCACCUCAAAUAAUCAUCAAAUUGCCCCAUCAUACACAACAGUCAUUCAAACAUUUUCAGAAAAAGUAUUCAAGCCAAGAGUACACACCAAAACAAAAAUACAACCUAUUCUAGGAAUUUAAAUUGCAAAAGUGUAAGAAGAAAUUCUAGGUUGCCUCCUAGUAGCGCUUGUUUAACGUCGCGAGCCUGACCCAAACCUGGUUGGCACUUGUCAGUAAGUGCACUUCCUUCCAUCACCCAUCAGUAGGUGUACCUUCCAGAUAUCCAUCAGUGGAUACCAAAAAAAUUUAGCAUCCCUCAGUAGAUGCUACCCAAAAAUUGUUCAGAAAAUUCAAAAAGUACGUGUUCCAACCAAAAUAAAACAAAAGAUUGAAAAAGAAAAUUGUUCAAUAAAAUACAAAAUUUGAUUUCCAACAAAUUCAGCUCUUCUUCUUCACGCUGGGAUCUUCAUCAUCCCACCAGCUCACUUUUCUCCGAUCCACCUUCUUGAUCACUUUUGAAUAAGGUCUUUGAAUCUCCACCAUUCCGUCAUCUCUCAAUCUCCUAUUAACAAUCCAUUUCUUAUCUUUGAAUCGCACUAACAAACCCCGCAAGAACGAUGUCUCCUCUAAAGAGGUUGAUUGCUUCUUGCACAUCGUCCCUUUAUCAUGAAUCUGCAAAACAUUACAAUUGUAAUGAAAAUUAAUACCUGUGGAUUUGUCUUCCUCUGCAGCUUCACUUUUGGCUCUCUUAUACUUGAAUUUCCUAACUACCCUCUGUACAGUUUCUUUAGAGCCAUAAAGCAACACUCUAUCAUAAUCCUACAUCUACCGAUUCUGCUUUUGAAGAUGCUUCUUCUCCGGAGAGGCUUCCUCCGUCCAGGGAAGCUCCUCCUGCAGGGGUUGUGCCUACCACCGGCGGCAACGGUAGUGGUUCCCAGGCGUAACUUCCCGCCAUUGAUGCUUAUCGGAUUUUCCACGGGGUCCCCCUUUUUUUAUUGCAAGGUGGGGUGGAAGUUGACCCGGUUUCUCUGGUUCCGGUCAGGAGUCUACCGUCGGUCAGUGUUAUGAUUGGGCCGGCUUCGAUGUAAAUACGCAAGUGUCCGCCCUCUCGCGCACAAGCCUUAGGGACUUCGUUGACCGAUCCUACCUGGUAAGGGAUGAGGCUGACGCCCUGUUGAUACGGCUAGCGGUCGGUCGCGAGAACGAGCGCGUGUGUCACGGGAAAGGUUCCAGUGUGGAGGAUUUUUUCUUCGUCUAUGCAACUUUUUUCGACCAGUUACAUAUUCGAAUUCCUUUCAUUAACUUCCAAAUGGGUGUGCUUCGGGCUUUAAAUGUAGCACCUACACAACUCCACCCGAAUGCAUGGGCGGCGAUUCAAUCGUUCGGUAUGAUGUGUCUGGCAGCGGGUGUGAUACCACCGUUCCCGCCUUCCUUUACUAUUUUGACGUCCAUCCUCCCCGAAGGGGGGUUGGGUUUCUUUGACUUCUGUGACGGAUCAGACAUUGUUCAAGCCAUAUUCCAAGUCCUACAAGAAUUUUAAAGAUCAGUUUUUUAAGAUAAUUAUCACCGAGACCAGGCGUCGUGAUUUCUUCGAUGAGGAAGGGUCUCCCCUUUUCCCUCUAUACUGGACGGAGAAUCCGACGAAAAUGAAGGCCUAUGUCAAGCAUGAUUUAGAUAUUGCCGAUCUUUGCGUCAUCGAUCUCAUCGAUACUCUUCCACGCCGCCUCCCCGCCCGCAACUUGGUUGACUGCCUUCCUUUCGAGGACUGUAGCCGGAGAGCACUCGGUAUGGUAUUAGUUCGGUUUGCAAUUUAUUGUUAAAGUGAUUACUUAACUGAAUUUGUUGCCUUCUUUCAGAUAUCAUGGCCGCUCCGAAUGCCCGAUAAUCCAACUUCCUAUUUGCUAAGAGGGGUCUUCUGCCGCGCCCUCAACUGCCAUAAAUAGUGGUCUUCCCCCCCCCCCCCCCAAAACGCCCUCUUCCAAUCGGCCGAGUAACCGUCGCAACUGUUCGGCCUCUGACUGGUGAGCUCAUUCCUGGGGGCGUAUCGGUGAAGAAGAAAACGAGUCUGCCUGGAGGUUCUCAACCUCUGGCCGGAGAGGGAACCUCCAAUCCCCUUACAAUCCCUAGUACUACAAGGGUUUCUCCUGCCGCAAGUACGAAUCCUCAUAUCGAGGCGGCGUCUCAGUCGGCUCCGACUGUAACACCCGCGCCGACUCGCAAGAGGAGAAGAUCUCGCAAGGAGGGGGACAAGACAUCCUCUAAGAGGAAUCGCCGAGAAAGCAGUGAGUCGUCCGUUCUCCUUCUAGGUGGUGUGUUUAGUAAUGACUAUAGUGUUGGUCGGCAUGUGGACUUUCAUAUGGGACCCGCCCAACGGGCUAUUUUGGAAUCAAUGUCCGGCCCCGUCUUACUAGAUGCCAGUUUUGAAAUGUCGAGCCGAACCGCCUCGAUAGUGGGCUUUCUCUGAGAAUUUGGUGACAUCCGAGGGUCGGGUGAAGUGAAGGUGGCUUUACUGAAGGAGUAAGAGAAGGUGGCUCUACUGAAGGAGUAAGAGAAGGUGGCGGCCCUUGAAGCGGAUUUAGAGGCUUUGUGCAAGAGCCGCGAGGAAGAUGGGAAACAGUCGGUCGAAGUUCGCCAGGAGCUUACUGAGACUUCAACCAAGCUCAAAGGGACGACUCGCGCACUGAACUCCGACUUGACUGUGGAGUGUAAUCAAUUGAAGGAGGCGGCUGUUGAACAGAGGGAAGUCGAGAGGAGCCUCCAAGAGAGGACCGUCGAGUUGCAGACCAACCUUGAUGCCGUCCGGAUGGAUGUAAAGACCGCGCGGUAGAAAAUCUCAGAACUUAAUACUAGCGUGGUAACGGAGCAUGAGGAGGGAUUCUACAAGGCCCUACGAUAGGCAGAAGUCCUUCUCAAGAUAGAGAAACCUUUAGACCUCGGUUUCGAUCUUGAGAAGGAUGUGUGUGACGGGGUGUUGACCUACGUAGGCCCCCCGUCCAUUCUGGUAGUUGUCAUUGUUGAAACCGAGGUGAGGGCUGAUGAACCGGCGACUAAUCCGGAAGGUGCAGGGGGAGACAAUACCAAUGCAUAGUUUUUACUUGUUUUUCUUUACAUAUUUCGUAUAUUGAGGAUGGAUAAAUUAUUUUUUGCAUCGCGUAGCGGCCAGUAGGUAAACAGUUUAAAGCUGUUUACCUAGCUGUCCGUUUUCUUUUUUGGCAUUCGACUUGUAUCGAUCAUUAUCCCCUCCUUUUGGCUUAAUGAAAUCAAUCGUUCUUAUUUCUCAUUCGCUAGAGGUGUUCAUUUUGUAUACACAUACUAUUAUUUUUUGUUGGGGAUUAACGAAAGACUAUGCCUCGUUGUUUAUUCGAAUCGGGUUUUGGUGCGAGAAGUUGACAAGCAGUUGCUGUAACGCCCCGGCAACUUACAGGGACUGUUGACUGCCCCCACACAUCACCACAAGACUUUCCAGUGUGCUUUGUCCUCACUCGCACACUUUCCGGGAAAACUUCCCAGAAGGUCACCCAUCCCAGAAUUUCUCCAGGCUAAGCACGCUUAACCAUGGAGUUCUUAUGGGUUAGGCUUCCGAAAAGUAAAUGCAUUUUGGUGAUAUGGGUAGCCAAUUCAAUUCCUUUAAGCCAUCCUUCAACUGUAUAGUCCCAUACCUAUACAGUCUCCAGAUCCCUCUCAUUCCGGUGUAUGUUCGAUUCGUCCAUGUGCCCCUUCCACUCGAAGCCUGCCAGGAGCCGCUCCUUGUCUGUGCCCCCUGCACCAUGCUUCUUGCACUGGCGAUCACUCCCCGCCCUCGUCAGUGCCCGGGUGUCACAUGCCCACCAGCUUCCGUCUGGUUCGUCCUCGAACCACACCGUACUGGGAGAGGCUAGGCUCUGAUACCAUUUGUAACACCCCGACAACUUACAGGGACUGUUGACUACCCCCACACAUCACCACGAGACUUUCCAGUGUGCUUUGUCCUCACUCGCACUUCCCGGAAAGUGUGCGAGUGAGGACAAAGCACACUGGAAAGUCUCGUGGUGAUGUGUGGGGGUAGUCAACAGUCCCUGUAAGUUGUCGGGGUGUUACAGUUGCCCUUCACCACCCGGGCGGUUGGGUGAGAUUUCCUUAGCGUUUUUGCAUUUUGCUGACCGUCUAUUAUGUCGACGGAAUAGUUCCGUUUACUAACUUUUUUUGAUAGGACUAAGUCGUUCAAUGCUCGGUCAAGUUGAUAGGAUAACUCUGUUCAUCAACUUGCUUCGUGUGGGGUCUGUUGGCUUAUGCCUUUCACCGUCCGGUCAAGUUGAUAGGACGGAUCCGUUCAUCAACUUGACUUGCCUUUGUUUUGAGCGGCACAACAGUGUUGUUCACUGCCUGAUCAAGUUGAGAGGAUAAUUUCGUUCCUGAACUUGAUCUACUGCGUUUGGGGUUGUGAUAACGGUCUAAAAACCGUUAUUUUCAUGCUUGAAUUUGAUAGUAAGAAACACCCUUUAUGGCUUAGAAUGGGCUUUAAAUCAAGUAAAACACUUACUUGAGUCUCUUGAGAGUCAAAAGUUGGUUUUAGAGAUAUUAUGCUUGUUUUGCAUUGUUUUGUAGGGUUUUUAGAUGAAUUAAAUAUGGAAGUAAAGUAAAGUGGAUUUAGACCCUUGAAAGAAGGAGAAAUAUGAUGAAGAGAAGGGUCAAGUUAGCCGCUGAGCGUCAGAAUGGUCCGCUGAGCGCUCAGAGCAAUUAGAGGGAAACCGCUCAACAGCAAAACUGACCGCUGAGCGAUCAAAGCGGCAAGAGGCAAACCGCUAUGCGGUUGUCUGUUUUUUUAACUAGAUUUUGUGAAUCUAUCUGUAAUCUAUCUAUUAUCUUUUUGGGCUUAUAUAUAGCUGAUGGGUUGUCGCAACCCACACAAAUUUGAUUGCAAUUUAGAAAUGCAGUAUAGCUAGGAAAUGACUCCUAGGUUGUCUCUCAAUGACCAAUUUUGCGGUUCAAGAAUCAAGUCAAGCACGAAGGUUGGGGGGGUUGUUGAAAAGUUUGUAAAUGCGGAUAAACAAAAUCAAGACACAAACACAACUAAUAAUUAAACACAUAUUUAAAAACAGUUUCAAAGACAGAAUAAAAACAGUUCGUCAUUAACUUAAUUACAAUGUUUCCAAUCACAGAUCAACAAAAUAAAGUUGCAACUCAAACCUCUAAUCCAACAAAGUUAACCAACUAAGCGAAGGUUAACCCUGUUUUCAUAAAAGCGAACUAAGCGAACGCAAUGUUAAUAUCAAAUCUAAAUUACACCAUUCAGUUACAUCAACUAAGCGAANAUGUAACACCAACUGGG
RNAcentral lists this long non-coding RNA (50268 nucleotides) under Vigna radiata. RNAcentral describes it as "long non-coding RNA (VRAD_LNC014492)". Lineage: Eukaryota; Viridiplantae; Streptophyta; Magnoliopsida; Fabales; Fabaceae. The record is from RNAcentral.